CUUCUUCUUCUUCAUCUAUUGAGUCCCUUUCUCUCCAAAACAACAAUCUCACCUCAUCCAUGUAUCGUUGGUUGCGCCCGUUAACCAGCAAUAAGCUUCUUGGUCUUGAUGUCUCUGGCAACAUGUUAGAUGGGAUACCCAAAUAUCUUGGUAACCUCUGUAGUCUGGAAGAUUUGUCCAUCUAUAACAACUCUGCUGCUGUCAAAUUUCCUGAUUUUCUCAACAACUUGUCUGGAUGCACAUCCCUUUCAUUACAAUCCUUGUAUGCUUCUCAUAGCCAAUUUACAGGGUCACUGUCCGAUGAGAUCCAAAAGUUUUUAUCCCUAGAAUCUCUAUACCUAUCUGAUAAUCACCUAAAUGGAAGUAUAAGUGAGAAAUUUUGGGAACUACCAAGGCUUGAAACUCUUGACGUUUCUUUUAAUAAUCUUACAGUUCCUUCCACAGAUCACAUGUCAAGCCUUUCUUAUGUAAAGGAAAUUGGUCUAAGCUCUUCUCAGCUAGGGCCUUGCUUCCCCAAAUGGAUUCAUACACUAAAAAGUCUUACCCUUCUUGACAUUUCCAAUACUGGAAUUUCAGACACAACUCCUCCGGAUUUUUGGGACAUGUGGCCUUCUCAAUUAGAAUAUCUGAAUCUCUCCUCCAACAACAUUAGCGGGAGUGUACCAGAUUUAUCAUCAAAUUUUGCCAGCGGUUCAGUGAUCGAUUUGAGUUCCAACAGAUUUUAUGGUCCAAUACCGAAAGUCUCUUCGGGUUUGACAUCAUUAGAUCUUUCCAGAAACAAAUUCUCUGGAGGGGUCUCCUUUAUAUGCCAAAUUGUUGAUGGGCUCUUAUACUUUCUUGACCUUUCUCAUAACUCAUUCAUCGGACAACUACCGGACUGUUUGUGGCAUUUCAAACAACUAAAAGUUCUAAAUCUCGGACACAACAAUCUCUUUGGAAGUCUUCCUCCCUCUAUUGGAUCUUUGAUACAACUCAAGGUGCUGUAUUUAUACAAGAACAACUUCUUUGGAGAAUUGCCUUUGUCUUUAAAAAAUUGCACGAGUUUAAUCUCGAUGAAUUUGGGGGCCAACAAGUUUUCUGGUAAUGUGCCUGUCUGGAUUGGGGAAAACUUAUCAAAGUUGUAUGUUCUUAUCCUAAGAUCAAACAAAUUCUUUGGAACCAUCCCACAAAAGUUAUGUCGGUUAGCUAAUCUUCAAAUUCUAGAUCUGUCAAUGAACAAUCUCAAUGGAACCAUCCCCUCAUGUUUGAGUAAUCUUACAAGCAUGCUUCAACAAGGAGGAUUCUCACAAGAUGUGCAGCUUAAUACAACUUACAGAGCUUAUGAAUAUAAACAGGAGACAUACGUUGACCAUGCGAUGAUUGAGUGGCAAGGAGAUGAACGCGAAUUCGUUAGCAUUCUGAAAUUGUUAAAGAUCAUUGACCUGUCAAGCAACAAGUUAACAGGACAAAUCCCACAUGUAGUUACCAAUCUUUCUGACUUAGUUGCCUUGAACUUGUCAAGGAACGCUCUAUCUGGAGAGAUUCCACAGAAAAUUGGUGAGAUGAAAAAGCUUUUGACUUUGGAUUUAUCCAGAAAUAAUUUCUCAGGGGGGAUACCAUCAAGCAUGUCUCAGAUGAGUUUACUGAAUGACCUAGACUUGUCAUACAAUAACUUGUCAGGGAGAAUCCCAUCAAGCACUCAACUCCAGUCCUUUCCACCUUCAAGAUAUGUUGGAAACAGAGGACUAUGUGGACCUCCUCUUAACAAAAAGUGUCCUGGAGAUGAAGAAUCAGAAUCACCACCAAUCAUUGGUAAAAGUGAGGGUGAUGGGGAAGAAUGGGGAUGGUUUUAUAUUGGUGGGGGCAUGGGUUUUGCCACUGGAUUUUGGAUAGCAUGUGGGGCUUUACUUGUCAACCGUCGAGGGAGGCGUGCAUUUUUUCACUUUUUUGAUAGUUUCAAAGAUUGGGUUUAUGUGAAGGUGGUUGUGUUCGUUUCAAGUUUGCAAAAAGGUAGACAGAUGUAGUUUGUUAUCUAAUUCUUAUUUUUGACUUCUUAUUUUCCAGUAUACAAUGUAAUAUGGUAGUGGUUUUUAAUCCCCCAAUAUCAAUAAAUUAAGGCCACUUUUGGCGCAUUUCUGCGACUCGGUAUGUGGUAAUUAAGUGCACUUUAUUUAUGUUUAUAAAAAACGGGCUUUUAAUUAGAUGGGUGGCCAUUAGGUUUAACUAAUAAAAAACUCUUACAAACCAAGAGUCACACGACACGACAUGAUUCAUUGGCAAUAAAAAAAAAUAGAUAACAUAGUAAUGUAAGUAUGUAACACUCUAAUGAAUCGUUCUCUGCAUGCAUGUAAAUUGUAUAGAAAUUGUGUCUGUAAUUUGUAAUCUGUUUGACUGAUUGACUGACUGUAUAUGCUACAUUAUGAUUGUAAUGUGUAAAUCUGUAUGUAAGAUGCAUGCUAGUACAUUGUUAAUUUGCUACUUAAUACUUAUGCUGUUAAUGUUAUAAAUGAAAUAAUGAAUUAUGAAUCAGGUCUGUUACUCUGUAUACUCUCUCUAUAUUUCUCUCUUUCUUAAUUGUUAUGUGAUCAACUAAUCAUUGUUUUAUACUUAUGUUGUAUUGCUGUAUUGCUGAUUUGCUGUUAAUUAAGUGUUUACCUGUAAAGUCAAAAGUGUAAACUGUUAUGAACUUAUAAUUAUGAUGUAAUGCUGUUAACUGUUUGACUGUUUCAGUGUUUUGUCAGUUGUCACUGUUAUGUACUUAUGUUAUAGCGUUAUUUUAUACAAGAUUACAAAUUAAUAUGUUUUGAUAUUUUGAUGUUUUCUGAAUUCUAAUUUCUAUUUUGUUAUACAUAAUGGUUUCAACUUCAGAUGACCAAGGUAGGAGAUAUGGUGCACAAGAUCCGAGUAAUAAAAACAAUGUGUGCUCUUUUUGUGGAUAAGUUCUGAAAGGAGGAGUAUAUCGCCUCAAACAACACUUAAUUGACGGGCAUAAAGACGCAAAGAAAUGUCCAAAUUGUCCGGAGCAUGUACGAGAAGAAUGUAGGACAUUCAUGCAAAACAAGCAAUCAAUAAAGGCACAACAACAUAUGGAAGCAAGUUUUCAGAUGCAACAACUGUUGGAAAUAUUACAGCCUUAUACAGCUGUUGACUGCUAUAUUUAUAAGUUGCAUAAUGGCCAAAAUUAUCUCUGUGAUUGUCAUUGUAUUAGAUGUAUUUUUAGCUCUUAAUUCUGUAAUUAGAGUAGAUUAUCUCUUUCCUUGUUUAGGCUAUUUCUUUCAUGUAUAUAAAUUGUUGUGAUGUGAAUAAGAAAAAUACAAUCGAAAAAAACUUUUCACCCUUUGUUUCAUGGUAUCAGAGGAGGUUCAUCCUAGACAUGAUCAGAAAAUCUCUCUUUUAAUUUACUUUCCUGAGAUUUUUUUCUUUCUAACCCUAAAAUCAGAUCUAUGGCCGGAGGAAACCAAUCCAAUGUCACUAACAGAUUUUGCUUUAUCCACAACAAAACCCUCUCUCCUUUCUACUCCUGACCUUGGGCAUACUCUGCAAAUCACCCAACACACACUAAACAGUCAAAGAAUGGUAUCAAUCUGUUUUGUUAGUCAUCCCAGGGGAAGUAGGCUAUGUUACCGGUGAAACUUGUCAACCGAAACAGGAUGAUGCAAGUUAUCAACAAUGGGAAGCAAAAACCCCCCAUUAUCAUGGCAUUACUUAUCAACUCCAUGGAGACAUGAAUUGGCAGGACAUUUUUAUUCUACAACAACGCCCAUGAAAUCUGGAAAUGUGUCCAAGCGAUGUAUUCAUAUCUUGAAAACACAUCUCAGUGUUUUGAGAUUCGCUCGACUCUAAGAUCCACCCGCCAAGGAACAAUGACAGUUACUUAUUAGUCGUGUAUAUUCUAUUUAUUAUAUAUGUAUAGAGUGUAGGUACCUAAGUGUAAAAUAUUGUGUUUAGGUCAAUCUCAUGGCCACUAUUUAUAUCUCACGGCUGGAUCAAUAAAGAACAGGGAAAAUAUUUUGCGUUAUAUUGUGUGUUAUAUUAUGGUAUCAGAGCUCUCUUUCUGAAAACCUAACCCUACUAGCCGUCGUUCCUUCACAAUCUCUUAUCUCCUUUUUUUUUUUUUUCUGACUACUCUCGAGAUGGAAAGAGCUCAGUACACUUCAUGGGCUGAGUUGUUUAGAAUCCAUUGUCGUGCAUUCCAGGUCAUUGAUCAUAUUGAACCCAAAGCUACAAUCAUCUCCUCCUCCACCACUAAUAAAGUCGGGGUUGAUAAACCAGCAGAUCCCAAACCAAUGGAUCCUGAUCUAUGGAAUCGAUUAGAUGCCAUUGUCAUCCAAUGGAUCUACAGUACUAUCUCGAAUGAUCUCCUCCAAACCAUUCUAAAACCGAAAGCUAGUGCAGCGCAGGCAUGGGCAGCCCUCGAGAGUGUUUUUCAAGACAACCAGAAUGAGCGUGCUCUCUACUUGGAACACAAACUAGUCACCAUUAAGCUUGUAAAUUUCUCAAAUUGCUUUGCUUACUAUCAGACGUUGAAGAUGAUCUCUGAUCAACUUUCUAAUGUUGGCGCCCCUAUCACUAAUCAACGACUCAUCUUACAGCUCAUUGUUGGUCUUACGGAUGCAUACGAAGGGAUCGCCAUGAUGAUCCAGCAAAUCAAGCCUCUUCCGGAUUUCUAUGAAGCACGCUCUCGUCUCAUCUUGGAAGAAACAAGUAAAGCCAAUCAUGCAACCCAGUCUGCUGUUGCAGAUGCAUUUGCCCUCAAUGUUUAGACUCAACACACUUGUCUCCCCUUACCCUACAAACGACUACAACAACGUCACUAGGGGACGUGGACGUAGACGAGGCACUAGAGGUCGUGAUCGUGGCAGAUGAGGUGGUAACUACACAGGUGGCAACCGUGGACAGCACCAACAAUUUCACCAAUAGACUCAUACUCCCUUCUGGCAGAAUCAACCUCAGUGGGCUCCUCAACCAUCCUGGAAUGCAUUGCCUCCCUCAUGGUUUCCUGCUCAACACACACCACCUUGUCCCUAUCCUACCACUCCGCCACGCUCAUCACAACCAUAACCCCCCAAUGCUCUAGGUUUACUUGACCCUUGACCACCACAACCACAAACUCAUAAUACCUCAGUUAAAUCCUACACUCCUACUGAUUUGGAACAAGCUUUUCACACAAUGAGUCUCAUCUCUCCAGACCCGAAUUGGUACCUUGACACUGGCGCAACAUCUCACAUGACAAACAAUUGAGGUACUCUCUCCUCAUAUAAUAAGAGUAAUUUCCGGAAUAUCAUUGUAGGUAAUGGCACACAACUUCCAAUCGAAGGCACCGAUAAUCAUAUUAUUACUCCACCCUAUCCCCCUUAAUCAAGUCCUUUAUGUUCCUAAUCUGAUUAAAAACUUACUUUCUGUCCGUCGUCUCACAACUUAUAAUAAUGUUUCAAUCAAAUUUGACCCAAAUGGUUUUCUUGUAAAGGACUUGCAGACCCGGAUGCCUCUUCUCAGCUGCAAUAGCUCCGGAGAUCUUUAUCCACUUACACUUAAGUCAACCCCUCCACUCAAGUCUCCUUCCACUUUUGCUGCAAUAAACCGAGAUCUCUGGCAUUUUCGUUUGGAACACCUGGGCGUUAAUGUGUUUCAUUGUUUGAAUAAUUCCUUGUUAUUUCCUUUUUGUCAUAAAAACUCUAUUUUUUUUAUUCGUGUGUUAUGGGCAAAAAUAUUAAAUUACCUUUCCAUUUAUCUCCUACUGUUACUGUUUCUCCCUUUGACAUUAUACAUAGUGAUGUUUGGACCUCACCGGUUUUGUAACAUCCCAAAUUUCGAGGCCAAAAAUUUUGUUUUUAAUUAAGUAACUCAUAAAACAGUUUACCAAAACAUUGUCAAUAUUACAUCAACUUAUAAAAACCAUAAUGUCGUGUCUCAAAACCAUAUCAUCAGAAGUAAUGAAAAUCAGAGUACAAUCCCAGAAACUCAAUGCGGAAACCAUGUGUGUAUGUGUGUGAUGCGCUGCUACACCGUCGGAACCUUCCCCUUAGACGAAGAGGUACCUGAAACCAAAACUAAAAACCGUAAGCACGAAGCUUAGUGAGUUCCCCCAUCAUACCCAUACCAAAUAAUACAUAAUCCUCAGUAUCUUUCAACCGGUAACUGUCAGGCAUAAUCGGGAGCUGGACUCCCCCUCAGUAUCUUUCAACCGGUAACUGGGAACUACCCUUCUAUUCGGUAUCUUUCAACCGGUAACUGGGAACUACCCUCUCAUUCGGUAUCUUUCAACCGGUAACUGGGAACUACCCUCUCAUUCGGUAUCUUUCAACCGGUAACUGGGAACUAACCUCCCCUUCGAUAUCUUUCAACCGAUAACCGGGGACUAUUUCACCCCUACUACUGCUAACACAUAAUAAGCAUAGUAAGCAUAUCAAUCAUAAUCAUAUUAAUCACAGUAAGCAUAUCACAUAUCAAAUCCCAGAUAAUUAUCACAAAGACAAUCAUCUAACCAAUACUCUUACUUGUGGGUCGGCAUUGUGACCGUAGACCCACCCCUACUAGGAGGAGACUCACCUCAAAUUCGUAAGAUCAAACUGUUUCUCUAAGUAUACAUGGAUUUUUUUAUCCUAAGAUCAAGCUGUUGGGUUUUAAGCACUAUAACACUCCUAUAGUGCACAUGCAACCCUAAAUGAUUUGGAUCUAUGUUUUCUCUAAUUAUACAUGCAUUUUCUUUUUCCAAAGCAUUCACCCUAGCUAGCACACAAUUGAAGCUAUAUAAUAUAAAACUUAAUUUGGAUGCUUACCUCUUGAGUAAGGUAGAGUUCUUGACCUUUGGAAGCUUGAGUACCUCAAGUGUGAUGCCUCUAAUGGUUCACAAACACCAAGUGCAAGAGGAGGCUUUAGAGAAUAGGUUAGUUGGCACAAAAUCAACUUCACUCUCUUAGAAUGUAUGGCAUGACCCAUUUUGGCUCUAGGGAGGGGUUUAUAUAGUGUGACAAACAUUAGGGUUACAUCCAUGAAAACCCUAAUGCUCCAUGACUUUUCACAUUCUCAUGCUCCAUUGUUUAAACCUCCAUGGACUAUCCAUGGUUCAUCUCAUUGGUUUAGCCCAUUCUAAAUAACUAUGGAUCAUUGGCCCACACUAUAAGAAUCAUUGAUUUGCAAUCAAGCCCCAUAUAUUUAAUUAGUCUCAUUUGAUCACAAAAUUAAUUUCAAAUUAAUUCUUGAUCAAUACUAAUUAAAUAAUAUGUUUUCUCAAUUAAUAUAUUAUACUUACAAUAUAUUAAUAAAUCACAAAUAACCUUAUUCUUAAAAGUUCACCCUAUCAAAUUGCAUUGAUGAAGGCAACCCAAAAGGACCAUGCUACUAUUGGGUCAAGUACAUCCCAGUUAUAGUUAUGGUCUUAGACACUAAAUCCAACACAAACAACUUCUUUGGAACCAUCCCUUUACAGUUAUGUCAGUUAUCUAAUCUUCAAACUCUAGACCUGUCAAUGAACAAUCUCCAUGGAAGCAUCCCCUCAUGUUUGAGUAAUCUUACCAGCAUGGUUCAACAAGGAGGAUUCUCACAAGAUGUGCAGUUUAUUACAACUUACAAAGCUUAUGAAUUUAAACAGGAGACAUACGUUGACCAUGCGAUGAUUGAGUGGUAAGGAGAUGAAUGUGAAUUCGUUAGCAUUCUGAAAUUGAUGAAGAUCAUUGACCUUUCAAGCAACAAGUUAACAUGACAAAUCCCAUAUGGAAUUACCAAUCUUUCUGACUUAGUUGCCUUGAACUUGUCAAGGAACGCACUAUCUGGAGAGAUUCCCCAGAAAAUUGGUGAGAUGAAAAAGCUUUUGACUUUGGAUUUAUCCACAAAUAAUUUCUCUGGGCAGAUACCAUCAAGCAUGUCUCAGAUGAGUUUACUUAAUGAACUAGACUUGUCAUACAAUAACUUGUCAUGGAGAAUCCCAUCAGCACUCAACUCCAAUCCUUUCUGUGACAUCCCCAAAAUCACGGCCAGAAAAGACCGGUUUCAUUUAUGCUUUUAAAAUAUUUUCAAAGUAAAUCCAUUGAUUUAAAAGAGUUGCAGAAUUUGUUCCCAAAACAAAACAUGAUAAAAUAAAGCUUAUCAAACCAUUUCAUCAAGAGAUACAUUUUCAUUAUAUGACAAUAUUCGAGAAGUCAUGUUCUGAUAAACAGACCAAAAGCAUAAACAACAAAAGAUAGACCAUACAACAGUUACAUAUGACAACUGGUCUAAUAUCAAAAGAUCUUGAUAAGUCAUCCAACUUAUGCCCUCGCACCACUACCUGUAAUACAACAAAACUAAGUGGGUCAGGCUUGGAAGCCUGGUGAGCAUAUAGGGUUUCCAAGCCACAAUAAAUAAUUAUAUUUAAUUCACCAACCAACAACAACAACCUGAUUACCCAUUCCCGUUAUCCUCACUUUACGUCCCUAAAGCAACAUCUAUUACAAGGGACCUAAUCUAGGAUUUUCAUUGGGAUGGACUCUACUGCAAGGGGUUUCCUCAGCAAUAAAAGUCCUAAAGGCAACCAUGAGGGGGAUAGAGUACACUGGUGAACACAUCGUUCACAACACCUACAGGUUAUGAGUCUGCUAGCGUUCCACAGGACUGUCUAGAAGGAGUCUGUGGUCGUUAUCCAUACUCCGCUGGAUAACUAGAAUAACAACAACAACAUCAAGGCCUCUCAUCUGUUUAUCACACAUCAACUAUCUACCCAUGUUCUACCCAACAUUUUAGUAGAUAAAAUAUACAUUUUUAUACAUGUUGGAUAUAGUGUCUAAGUCCAUAACUUUAUUUGGUAUGUACUUGACCCGACCCGGCAUGGUCCAUUUGGGUUGCAUGGCAUUGCAAUACUUGGAUAGACUAAAUGAGAGAAUAUGGCACUUAUGAUUAUUAAUAUAUUAUAAGUUCUAAUAUAUUAAUAAUAGUAUUAUUUAAUUAGUAUUUGAUCAAGUAUUAAUCUAGUAUUAAUUUGGUGAUCAAAGUGAGACUAAUUAAAUAUAUAAGGGUUGAUUAUGACAAUCAUCAAUUCUUUUAUGGUGGAUUAAUGAUCCAUGGUUUAUGGGUUAUGGAUGUAACCAUUUGGAGCUCCAUGGAUAGUCCAUGGGAGUUACAAACCCAUGGGUCAUGAGAAAUGAAGAGUCAUGACAAUUAUGGGUCUUCAUGAUGAAACUCUAAUUGUGACACCACUAUAAAAGGGACCCUUUGGCUAACAAAAUCAGACCUAGUGUUACUAGAGAGGGCAUAACCGAUUUUUGAGUGUAAGAAUUAUUCUCUCAAGUUAUUCCAAGUUUUGUGGUGCUGUGUGAAGCAUUUGAGGUACAACAUUUGGGGUGCUAGGCUCACAUAGUCUUGAAGGAAUCCAAGCAACAACAAGGUAUGUAUUUCUACUAGUUUUUAUGUUUUAUGUAAUCCCCAUGCCAUGCUAGUUAGGAAAUAACCUUGAAAAAGAAAUUUGCAUGUAUAUAGAGAAAACAUAGAUUCAAGGUUAUUAGGGUUGCAUGUACACUUAGGAAGUGUUAGAAUGCUCAAAACCCAUCANNNNNNNNNNNNNNNNNNNNNNNNNNNNNNNNNNNNNNNNNNNNNNNNNNNNNNNNNNNNNNNNNNNNNNNNNNNNNNNNNNNNNNNNNNNNNNNNNNNNNNNNNNNNNNNNNNNNNNNNNNNNNNNNNNNNNNNNNNNNNNNNNNNNNNNNNNNNNNNNNNNNNNNNNNNNNNNNNNNNNNNNNNNNNNNNNNNNNNNNNNNNNNNNNNNNNNNNNNNNNNNNNNNNNNNNNNNNNNNNNNNNNNNNNNNNNNNNNNNNNNNNNNNNNNNNNNNNNNNNNNNNNNNNNNNNNNNNNNNNNNNNNNNNNNNNNNNNNNNNNNNNNNNNNNNNNNNNNNNNNNNNNNNNNNNNNNNNNNNNNNNNNNNNNNNNNNNNNNNNNNNNNNNNNNNNNNNNNNNNNNNNNNNNNNNNNNNNNNNNNNNNNNNNNNNNNNNNNNNNNNNNNNNNNNNNNNNNNNNNNNNNNNNNNNNNNNNNNNNNNNNNNNNNNNNNNNNNNNNNNNNNNNNNNNNNNNNNNNNNNNNNNNNNNNNNNNNNNNNNNNNNNNNNNNNNNNNNNNNNNNNNNNNNNNNNNNNNNNNNNNNNNNNNNNNNNNNNNNNNNNNNNNNNNNNNNNNNNNNNNNNNNNNNNNNNNNNNNNNNNNNNNNNNNNNNNNNNNNNNNNNNNNNNNNNNNNNNNNNNNNNNNNNNNNNNNNNNNNNNNNNNNNNNNNNNNNNNNNNNNNNNNNNNNNNNNNNNNNNNNNNNNNNNNNNNNNNNNNNNNNNNNNNNNNNNNNNNNNNNNNNNNNNNNNNNNNNNNNNNNNNNNNNNNNNNNNNNNNNNNNNNNNNNNNNNNNNNNNNNNNNNNNNNNNNNNNNNNNNNNNNNNNNNNNNNNNNNNNNNNNNNNNNNNNNNNNNNNNNNNNNNNNNNNNNNNNNNNNNNNNNNNNNNNNNNNNNNNNNNNNNNNNNNNNNNNNNNNNNNNNNNNNNNNNNNNNNNNNNNNNNNNNNNNNNNNNNNNNNNNNNNNNNNNNNNNNNNNNNNNNNNNNNNNNNNNNNNNNNNNNNNNNNNNNNNNNNNNNNNNNNNNNNNNNNNNNNNNNNNNNNNNNNNNNNNNNNNNNNNNNNNNNNNNNNNNNNNNNNNNNNNNNNNNNNNNNNNNNNNNNNNNNNNNNNNNNNNNNNNNNNNNNNNNNNNNNNNNNNNNNNNNNNNNNNNNNNNNNNNNNNNNNNNNNNNNNNNNNNNNNNNNNNNNNNNNNNNNNNNNNNNNNNNNNNNNNNNNNNNNNNNNNNNNNNNNNNNNNNNNNNNNNNNNNNNNNNNNNNNNNNNNNNNNNNNNNNNNNNNNNNNNNNNNNNNNNNNNNNNNNNNNNNNNNNNNNNNNNNNNNNNNNNNNNNNNNNNNNNNNNNNNNNNNNNNNNNNNNNNNNNNNNNNNNNNNNNNNNNNNNNNNNNNNNNNNNNNNNNNNNNNNNNNNNNNNNNNNNNNNNNNNNNNNNNNNNNNNNNNNNNNNNNNNNNNNNNNNNNNNNNNNNNNNNNNNNNNNNNNNNNNNNNNNNNNNNNNNNNNNNNNNNNNNNNNNNNNNNNNNNNNNNNNNNNNNNNNNNNNNNNNNNNNNNNNNNNNNNNNNNNNNNNNNNNNNNNNNNNNNNNNNNNNNNNNNNNNNNNNNNNNNNNNNNNNNNNNNNNNNNNNNNNNNNNNNNNNNNNNNNNNNNNNNNNNNNNNNNNNNNNNNNNNNNNNNNNNNNNNNNNNNNNNNNNNNNNNNNNNNNNNNNNNNNNNNNNNNNNNNNNNNNNNNNNNNNNNNNNNNNNNNNNNNNNNNNNNNNNNNNNNNNNNNNNNNNNNNNNNNNNNNNNNNNNNNNNNNNNNNNNNNNNNNNNNNNNNNNNNNNNNNNNNNNNNNNNNNNNNNNNNNNNNNNNNNNNNNNNNNNNNNNNNNNNNNNNNNNNNNNNNNNNNNNNNNNNNNNNNNNNNNNNNNNNNNNNNNNNNNNNNNNNNNNNNNNNNNNNNNNNNNNNNNNNNNNNNNNNNNNNNNNNNNNNNNNNNNNNNNNNNNNNNNNNNNNNNNNNNNNNNNNNNNNNNNNNNNNNNNNNNNNNNNNNNNNNNNNNNNNNNNNNNNNNNNNNNNNNNNNNNNNNNNNNNNNNNNNNNNNNNNNNNNNNNNNNNNNNNNNNNNNNNNNNNNNNNNNNNNNNNNNNNNNNNNNNNNNNNNNNNNNNNNNNNNNNNNNNNNNNNNNNNNNNNNNNNNNNNNNNNNNNNNNNNNNNNNNNNNNNNNNNNNNNNNNNNNNNNNNNNNNNNNNNNNNNNNNNNNNNNNNNNNNNNNNNNNNNNNNNNNNNNNNNNNNNNNNNNNNNNNNNNNNNNNNNNNNNNNNNNNNNNNGAUUUUUGCAUGGAUUAGGAAAAGAUUUUGAUAACAAAAAGAAUCUAAGUCAUAGAUCCAAGCAUAAUCUUACCUUAGAUGAAGAAUUUUGUGGAAAUUUCCUCUUGAAUGCUUCCUAAAUUUCGAGAUCUUUAACUGGAGAGGGAGGAUUGUUCUUCAAGACUUAGAGAGUUUGGAAGAGAUUUUUGUGGUGUGUGUGUGUUUGCAUAUGGCCGAGAGUGAGAGAGAGGAGAGAAGAGAAGUGAUUUUGAAGUGAUGUUGCAUGGAAGAAUGAGAUAUAAUGCAUGGAUAUCCAAUGAAUAAAAAUGAGGUGGCAUGGUAAAGUCAACUCUCCUCUUGGGCUUGAUUUGGGCCGAAAACAUGGAGGAAAAAAAAGAAAUUUGGGCCUUUGCCCUUAAGCCCAAUAUUAGAGUUAAUCUUGGGUAUGUUUUAAGUCUAAAAGAAUGUGGUAGGAUUUUUAUAUUUUUAUUGGACUAGUUUAGGUUAUUCAUGUAUCAAGGCUUUUAAUUCAUUUCAUUCUAGGCCCAACAUGGCCCAAAAUGUUGAAAUAAAUUAGUGUGGGUCCAAUUAGAGCCCAAAUUAGGGUUCUAAGCCCAUGAUAGUCUAAUUGGAAGCUUAUUGGUUAGUCCAAAAUGGACUUAAACAAGGACUUCUAGGGUCUCCAAUUGUUUGAUGACUAUUUGUAGUACUUGUAUGAUGCAUUGGAUUUAAGUUUUUGAUUCACAUUAACUUGAGUGUAUAGAUUACAGGACACAAAAUUUCCAGUUGUGACAUGCAUGUACACUUAGGAAGUGUUAGAAUGCUCAAAACCCAUCAGUGGUAUCAGAGCCUAGGAUUGUUUUUUGUAUACUUGAUGCAAAACUGCUUAAAAAUCGAAAAAUCUGCUCACUGACGACUGGACUCGCCGAGUUCAUGGGGAGGACUCGCCGAGUCCAUGAACAAAUUCAUCAUACUCGUCGAGUAGGAUCAUGCACUCGACGAGUAGGAGCGUGCUGGGCAGUUUUUCGAGUUUUGUUGCUGGAAAUGGAUUAAAAUCAUUAUCCCAAUCUGUUUUGGACUUGUAAAAUCUAUUUUUCAAAGUGAUAAUGACUAUGUUAACCCAUUUUGCAUGACUUUUAUCAAUGUUCAAGUAUUGUAUAUGUUUAUAUANGCAUGUAUAUAGAGAAAACAUAGAUUCAAGGUUAUUAGGGUUGCAUUGUCACACCCCCGAACCAGACGGCGGAAAUNGAAGAGACUUGGAAUAGUUUCAAUUCUUGCCCUCAAGUUUUGGAAUUUGAAAAGUCUUACACUCUAAUACUUUAAUUCCAAAUUAAACCUUAGAUUUUUAAAAAGUUUAAAAAUCAACACUUAUACUAUUAUUAUAAUUUUAUUAUAUAGAUAUGUAUAAGAAUAUGUCGUUCUUACCGUUAGUAGGCCUCAUUCACGAAGCCGGUCUAUAAGGGGGGUAUAAGGUUGUUGCCUAUAAAAUGGUGACUUAAUGGGUGUCCACUCUCACCCACCGCUUCCUUGAUCGGUGGAGGGUCGUUAGCCGAACGGGUAGGAUAUGACUUUAAAUUCUCAUUAAAAGUAUAAUGAAUUAUAAAGUAACUAUACAUUAUAAAUUCCCAAUCUUAGUUACUUUAGGAAAAUGUGAAAUUGGUGCUAGCCCAUAAAAUUACACUUUGUACCUUACCAAGUCGUUAGUGGAGCGUGUGUGGUUAACCGGCACACUAACAUGGACAAGUAAGAGUGGCAAAAGGUGACUUGACUUCAUUAUAGAUCGGUGGAGCAUGUGUGGUUAACCGGCACAUCGAUUAGGUAAUAUUGUUAAGGGUACCAAGUCAAUUUGUAUGGUUAUUCACACCUUGUUUGUGAUCCUCGGCAUCCCAGUCACAAACUUGAGAGGGCACAUUCGAGAUUCAAACAUGCCAUUGAAAAGUUCAAUGUAUCUCAAAAGAUCUAGGAGUUUCAAAACCAAUAAAACCUAAUAAUAAAAUAUUUCGUUCUUAUGGUGGAAAUUGGUAAAUCGUCAUUUACCUACCUUCAAAUAUUUUAUAGUGUGGAUUACGGCAUCCCUCUUCCACCUAUAAAUAGUUUGUUGGAUCCUAGCCUUAAUAUUUCAUUUGGGUGACUUAUUAAGGAUUCUUAAUCUAAUGAAACUUGUCUUUCUUUCAGAUGUCUUCCAAUAACGCUGCUAGCUCAAACCCUACAAGCUCCUUUUCCCUAAUGAACUUGUGUGGUAAGGUCAUCUUUGAUGGAUCCAACUUUAAUGAGUGGAUCAGAAACAUCAGGAUGAUUACCCGCUAUGAGGACCAAGAAUAUGUCCUUGACAGGGAGCUUAAGGUUGUUAAUGAAGUCACUGCUACUCCUGAAGAGUUUGCAGAGUUCAUUGCACAUGAGAAGGAGGCCACCAAUGUGUCUUGCAUCAUAAUGGCCACAACCGGAACUCCAAAAAUCUUAUGAAGAUUUCUACCCCUAUGAGAUGCACCUAGAUCUGAUGGAAAGGUACCAUCAGAGCGCGCGUCAAGAGAGGUAUGAAAUCAUUUCCUCCAUGAUAACCGCAAGGAUGAAGGAUGGUGAACCCAUCACCGGUCACUUGCAGAAGAUGCAGAGGUUCGUUGACCGGUUGCUAAAGCUCAAUGUUGACUUCCCUGAGGAAUUGGCGAUUGACAUCAUUCUCCAUUCCUUACCUCCAAGUUAUGAUCAGUUUCGUAUGACUUAUCAUAUGAACAAGGAGGAAGUCACACUUAGCAAACUUCAAGGACUCUUAAGGACAGCUGAAAAUGGCCUUAAGGGUAAAGCGGUUGCUACUUCUACUCCUUUAACAGCCCCUGUUCUUGCAAUUGGGCAAGGGAAGGGUAAGAAGAGGAAAAGCCCUUCAAAGGGUACCAAGGGUAAGACUCUUGAUGGUUCCUCUUCAAGUGGGACAAAGAAAGGUCCCAUUACUCCUUCUUCGAACCCAAAGGAAGCACAGUGCUUCUAUUGCCAAGAUAAGGGACACUUCAAGCGAAGCUGCGCCAAAUAUCUGCAAGAUGUAAAGGAUGGGAAGGUUAAACCCACCCAUGCAGGUAUUUACACAAUAUUGUCUAACAACUCAUCUAAUGCUAAUUCUUGGGUGCUUGAUACAGGGUGUGGUAUUCACAUUUGUACUGAUUUGCAGGCACUAAGAAGAAGUGAGCAAGUGGAGCACGGGAAGAUAAACUUAGUCAUGGGCAACAGGAAAGCAUCACCUGUUACCAAGAUAGGAGUUUAUUCUUUAUUGCUUAAUAAUGGGUUAAUGUUAGAUUUGAAUAAGUGUUGUUACUCGCCCGAAAUGGCGAGAAAUAUUAUUUCUUUUCAUGGCUUGUACAAACAAGGUUUUACAUUUUCAUUUGAUAAUAAAAAUGGUGCUAUUAAUGUUUAUUACAAUGAUGUAUUUUACUUUAAAGCAAUACCUUGUGAUGGUGUAUAUGAAGCCGUGAAUGUUGUAGACAAUCUAGGAAAUAAUGUGUUGUAUAUUGAUUCUUCUGAUAGCUUGGAUAAAGCAUCCUUGUGGCAUUGUCGUCUUGGACAUGUUAGCAAGAAGCGCAUAGGCCAACUCCAAAAGGCUGGAGUCUUGGAAUCAUUUGACCUCAAGUCAGAUGAUAGUUGCGAGUCUUGUUUACUUGGAAAAAUGACAAAGUCACCCUUCACAGGUACUUGUGAUAGGGGUGAAGGUUUGUUGGACCUUGUACACACGGAUGUGUGUGGGCCCUUCAGAGUUGCUACAAGGGAUGCUAAUCGUUAUUAUGUGACUUUUACUGAUGAUUACAGUAGAUAUGGAUAUAUUUACUUAAUCAAGCAUAAGUCAGAAACCUUUGAAAAGUUCAAAGAGUUUAAGCAGGAAGUUGAGAAUCAAUUGGGCAGGAACAUCAAGAUGCUCCGAUCCGAUCGGGGAGGAGAGUAUCUUAGCAUUGAGUUCCUUGACUAUCUUAAGGAAUGUGGGAUUGUCUCACAAUUGACACCUCCCAGGACACCACAGUUGAAUGGUGUAGCUGAGAGGCGCAAUCGAACCCUGUUGGAUAUGGUUCGUUCCAUGAUGAGUCGAGCUUCGUUACCAAUCUCUUUCUGGGGGUAUGCCUUAGAGACUGCCGCCCAUAUCCUUAAUCUAGUCCCUACUAAAAAGGUUGCCAAAACACCUCACGAGAUGUGGACUGGGAAAGUGCCCAAUUUGGACCACAUCAAGAUUUGGGGUUGUGAAGCUUUUGUGAGGCGUGAGACUCAUGACAAGCUUGAACCCCGAAGCGAGAGGUGUAUUUUCAUCGGCUACCCACAGAGAUCCUUUGGUUACCUCUUCUACAGACCCAGUGAUAAUGUGGUCUUUGUAGCAAGAAGAGGAGUCUUUCGUGAGAGAGAAUUCAUAAGCCAAGGGGACAGUGGGAGGCAAAUUGACCUUGAAGAACUUCAAGAGUCAAGUGGUGAAGGAACCUCAAAUGAUGUCAGCCAACAUGAGGAGGAGACUCCUGUUGAGCCGAUAGAUGAAUCUGUACCUCCAAUACGUUCCAUUAGGGUCAGGAACACACCUGAUUUUUAUUAUGGUUAUCACAUCACCACUGAAGGUGAUACAUUUAUCAGUGAUAGUACACUGAUAGAUUUGGAUGAACCUAAUAAUUAUAAGGAAGCCAUGGCAGGCCCUGAGUCUGCGAAAUGGAAGGAGGCUAUGGACAGCGAGAUUCAGUCCAUGUAUGACAAUCAAGUUUGGAACUUGGUUGACAAUGUACCAGGUCGUAAGACAGUUGGGUGCAAAUGGAUCUUCAAGAAGAAGACCGACAUGGAUGGGAAAGUACACACUUAUAAAGCGCGACUGGUUGCGAAGGGCUUUACUCAAACUCCGGGAGUUGACUAUGAUGAGACCUUCUCACCAGUAGCUAAGAUUAAGUCUAUUAGAGUGUUGUUAGCCAUAGCUGCAUUUCAUGACUAUGAAAUAUGGCAAAUGGAUGUCAAAACCGCUUUCCUUAAUGGGAAGUUGGCUGAGGAUGUUUACAUGGCUCAGCCAGAGGGUUUUGUCGAUCCAAAAUACCCUAAUAGAGUGUGUAAGCUUGAAAAAUCCAUUUAUGGAUUGAAACAAGCAUCUCGCAGGUGGAAUCUUUGCUUUGAUGAGAAAGUCAAAGAGUUUGGCUUUUCUAGGAGUGAGGAUGAGUCUUGUGUGUAUGUCAGGGCUAGUGGGAGCAUAGUUAGCUUCUUGGUGUUGUAUGUGGAUGACAUACUUCUCAUAGGAAACGACAUCCCAACUUUGCAGGAGGUUAAGGCCUGGCUUGGGAAGUGUUUUGCUAUGAAGGACCUUGGGGAAGCUGCCUAUAUCCUAGGGAUAAGGAUAUUGAGAGAUAGGAGUAAGAGACUAAUUGGACUUAGUCAAAGUACUUAUGUGGAUAAGGUACUGAAGAGGUUCAGUAUGCAAGAUUCCAAGAAAGGAGAAUUACCAAUCCAGAGUAAUGCCAAGCUAAGUAAGACUCAGAGUCCGAGUACAGAGGCUGAGAUAGCUGAAAUGAGUCAGAUACCAUAUGCUUCCGCUGUGGGCUCGAUCAUGUAUGCUAUGACUUGUACUCGCCCUGAUGUGGCCUUUGCUUUGAGCAUGGUCAGUAGAUAUCAAGGGAACCCUGGCAAGGCACACUGGACAGCGGUAAAGAACAUUCUCAAGUAUUUGCGGAGGACUAAGGACUGGGUCCUUACCCUCGGAGGCAGUGAUGACUUGAGAGUGGAAGGAUAUAGUGAUGCUAGCUUUCAAACUGAUAGGGAUAAUUUCCGCUCUCAGUCAGGCUGGGUCUUUAUCCUAAAUGGAGGAGCAAUUACUUGGAAAAGUUCCAAGCAGGAGACAGUAGCUGAUUCAACUUGUGAAUCAGAGUACAUAGCAGCAAGCGAGGCAGCAAAAGAGGCGAUAUGGCUAAAGAACUUCAUCGGAGACCUUGGAGUUGUACCAGCUAUAAAGGAGCCAAUGGAAAUUUUCUGUGACAGUGAAAGUGCGGUUGCUUUGGCGAAAGAACCAAGAGAUCACGGGAGAUCUAGGCACAUUGACAGAAAAUACCAUUUCAUCAGACAUAGAAUAGAAGAAGGACUCCUCGUGGCAAAGAGGGUAUCAUCAGAUGAGAACCCGGCAGAUCCCCUCACGAAGGGACUGAGCAGGGUUAAGCAUUUACAACAUGCGAGGUGCAUUGGGUUGAAGGAUGAUAUUAGUUUCAAUAAUUAGAUUCCUGAAACUUGUAAAAUGUAAUUUACAUUUGAUGAUAAAUAAAAGUUGUUGUUUAUUUAUGAGUAAGGUGUUACUAUCUUGUGUUGAUUGUUUACUAUGUUUCAAUUUUGCAUGUUUUUACUUCCAGAAUAAUUAUGUUAUUAUUCAAACCAUCCACAGUCAGUCAAACUUUGGAAGUAAGUAUUGAUUUAAGACUGUCAUGAAUUUGGCUUUGUANUAUGAUUUGUCUAAAGUGCUUUAGACAAUGCAAUGGUUGCUACAACAUUCUUGAGUACUCAUAAGGGCUGAGUAUUGGAUUCAACCCACGCUCACUUGCAUCACUUCAUGGAAUUCAUCUCGAGUCAUCGUUAGACAACAAUAUCAUAUAAAUCUUCAAACCUAGAGAUAUGAGUUGUUGACUAUGAGUUGGUUAUUCAUUGAUUGUACGAAACCGCAUUGGUAACUCGAUGUUAUAAAAUGUGCCUUUGUGAGUAAUUCAACAAGUAGUUAGUACAAGAAUAUCAGCCGAAGUUUAUCUGUUCCUUCUAGAAAUAGAAGCGAUAUCUGGGCCCCUCGAUGAUUUGGUUUUGACCUAUGUACCAGGCCCGAUCAGAACCUGAUAUGUGCAUAAUUAGUUAAUUAUUUAGCAUACAUUUUUAUUCAUUUUUAACUAAUUAUGUGUAUAAUGUGGACAAAAGGUACUUAAUAAUGUUUAAAUUUUGAUUUCAGUCCAAAAGACAUGCUUGGGAGUGAAAGGGAAUGAGGGGAAGAAAUUAGAGACCAAAGAAUGAAGAAUGAGGGACAAAAGCCUUCCUACUCUGCGAGUUCACGAGCCUACUCGGCGAGUUCAUUAGAAUAUUCUAGAAGAUAAGUCAAGACUCCUGGUAUGACACGGAUAACUAANAAGAGACUAAUUGGACUUAGUCAAAGUACUUAUGUGGAUAAGGUACUUAAGAGGUUCAAUAUGCAAGAUUCCAAGAAAGGAGAAUUACCGAUCCAGAGUGAUGCCAAGCUAAGUAAGACUCAGAGUCCGAGUACAGAGGCUGAAAAUAGUUGAGAUGAGUCAGAUACCAUAUGCUUCCGCUGUGGGCUCGAUCAUGUAUGUUAUGAAUUGUACUCGCCCUGAUGUGGUCUUUGCUUUGAGCAUGCUUAGUAGAUAUCAAGGGAAUCUUGGCAAGGCACACUGGACAGCGGUAAAUAACAUUCUCAAGUAUCUGCGGAGGACUAAGGACUGGGUCCUUACCCUCGGAGGAAGUGAUGACUUGAGAGUGAAAGGAUAUAGUGAUGCUAGCUUUCAAACUGAUAGGGAUAAUUUCCGCUCUCAGUCAGGAUGGGUCUUUAUCCUAAAUCGAGGAGCAAUAACUCGGAAAAGUUCCAAGCAGGAGACAGUAGCUAAUUCAACUUGUGAAUCAGAGUACAUAGCAGCAAGCGAGGCAGCAAAAAAGGCGAUAUGGCUAAAGAACUUCAUUGGAGACCUUGGAGUUGUACCAGCUAUAAAGGAGCCAAUGGAAAUUUUCUAUGAAAGUGAAAGUGCGGUUGCUUUGGCUAAAGAACCAAGAGAUCACAGGAGAUCUAGGCACAUUGACAGAAAAUACCAUUUCAUUAGACAUAGAAUAGAAGGACUCCUCGUGGCAAAGAGGGUAUCAUCAGAUGAGAACCCGGCAGAUCCCCUCACGAAGGGACUGAGCAGGGUUAAGCAUUUACAGCAUGCAAGGCGCAUUGGGCUGAAGGAUGAUAUUAGUUUCAAUAAUUAGAUUCCUGAAACUUGUAAAAUGUAAUUUACAUUUGAUGAUAAAUAAAAGUUGUUGUUUAUUUAUGAGUAAGGUGUUACUAUCUUGUGUUGAUUGUUUACUAUGUUUCAAUUUUGCAUGUUUUUACUUCCAGAAUAAUUAUGUUAUUAUUCAAACCAUCCACAGUCAGUCAAACUUUGGAAGUAAGUAUUGAUUUAAGACUGUCAUGAAUUUGGCUUGUAUGAUUUGUCUAAAGUGCUUUAGACAAUGCAAUGGUUGCUACAACAUUCAUGAGUACUCAUAAGGGCUGAGUAUUGGAUUCAACCCACGCUCACUUGCAUCACUUCAUGGAAUUUAUCUCGAGUGAUCGUGAGACGGUAAUAUCAUAUAAAUCUUCAAACCUAGAGAUAUGAGUUGUUGACUAUGAGUUGGUUAUUCAUUGAUUGUACGAAAACGCAUUGGUAACUCGAUGUUANCUGGGUUAGAUUGGAGUUGUCAUAUGUGAUUCUAAUAUGUUUAAAAUUCAGUUUUGCUUGGGGGCAAGCAAAAGUCAAGUGUGGGGUAUUUUGAUAUGUGCAUAAUUAGUUAAUUAUUUAGCAUACAUUUUUAUUCAUUUUUAACUAAUUAUGUGUAUAAUGUGGACAAAAGGUACUUAAUAAUGUUUAAAUUUUGAUUUCAGUCCAAAAGACAUGCUUGGGAGUGAAAGGGAAUGAGGGGAAGAAAUUAGAGACCAAAGAAUGAAGAAUGAGGGACAAAAGCCUUCCUACUCUGCGAGUUCACGAGCCUACUCGGCGAGUUCAUUAGAAUAUUCUAGAAGAUAAGUCAAGACUCCUGGUAUGACACGGAUAACUAACAUUUACUCGGCGAGUUGGGUCUGCUACUCGCCGAGUACACCCUGUUUUGUGAUAAUUAUAAAUACCAAACUAUUAUCUGAUUGGAAGGACUUCUGACGUUUUUGGAGCUUCAUCUGCGAUUGAAGAACCCUUGGAGGAGCUAAGGAACCCUAAUCUUCAAUCCCUUGAAGAAUCAAGGCAAUUAGGUUAAUCAUUCCACUUAGCUUUAGGAAUUAAGUAUGUUUAGCUUAGUUAAAUUUGUUUUUGUGUUUGUUUUUACUGCAACUAUGAACUAAAUUCGUUUUUGUUUCUGUUUGGGGAAUACCAAGUAACUCCUAUGGUUUAAUUCUUAGCUUUUGAUUGAUUGUUUAUUGGUGAUUUAUUAAAUUAAGUUUGUUAAAGAACCUUAUGCAUUAAUCACAACUAUUUUCUGUUAAUUGGAAGAUAAUUAAGCUGCAUAAACAUCUCUUAGUUGUUAACCUCAUAUGUCUAUGUGAACACUUAAUCAUAUGCUUAGGAAUAAUGAAUAUGAAACUAAGAUUAACAAGAGAAUGGGUAAAUUAAUGUGUGAGCUUGUUUGAGAAACCAACAAACAAGAGGUUAAUUGAAUCGCCAAUUUGAUUAACCAAUUACAAAUCUUAUUUAAUCCAAAUAAUUAAUCUAGGGAAUUAAUUAGUUUAAACACUUGAUCACUGCUUGAAUUAAUUGAUUGUCUAAGGGUUAGUAGUAAUGAACAUGAACCUAACCACUAUAGUUGAUAGCCAAUAGCAAUUAAUCUAUCAUAAAUUCAAAAUAACCAUAGGAGUGAAUUGGUUGAACCUAAAUAGAAACAUCUUAUUCAAAUUUGGUGAAUCAGUUACUUGCUUUAGUUAUUUAGUUAAUUAAGUGUUUAAGUUGUGUGUUUAAGUUUCUAGUCUUGCAAAACUAGAGAAAAACCCUUUUUACUUUCAUUAUUUGCUUAGUCAAAAUUAGUUAUUAGGUUAAUUUCCGUUCCCUGAGUUCGACACCCUACUAAUCCAACUAUACCACUAAAAGACAGGUUCACUGCCUUUGUGUGCUAAAUUUAUUAAUUAAAAGUAGGAAUAAAAUAAGUGCAUUUUACACACAUCAAGUUUUUGGCGCCNUUUGCACACAUUAAGUUUUUGGCGCCGUUUCCGAGGAACGGUUCUAAAUAAUUAAUCUAAUCCCUAAUUUUUUCGAUCCUUUGUGUGAGUUUACUGGCAUAAAGUUAAUUUAUUGCAAUUUAGUAGUUAGUAAUUAGGUGUUAGCAUCUGUUUUAGUUUUAAUAUUAAGUUUAGUUUUUUUUUUUUUUUAAAUUUCACUGUUACUCGCCGAGUGCAUUCGCACCUACUCGGUAAGUAUAAGUGUAUUUUGCAGUUAAUUUUCGUUUUUUUUAGUUGCAUUUUUUGUUCUUUUUACGUUUUUAUCUUGUUCUAUUUCAGGACUUUCAUGACCAGAGGAUCAAACAUUCCGCUGGUACCCCCGUUUGAAGACCCCGAAUCCGCAUUAAAAAGGAACAAAGGAAAGGACGUGGAGAGCUCGAGUACACCCAAGAAGUCACCUUUGUCUAACGUGAAGACUAUUUUUGGGAAGAAAAAGAGCAGCAAAGCAGGUCCAUCCAGCGCAUCUUUAGCAAGUGAAGAACCGAUCAAGGAAGACACCGAGUACGACACCGAGGAGGAAGAAGAACUUACAUACGGGCACGACUCCGAUUCCGGCGACGAGUUAGCUCUUACCAUGGCUAACAUUGAUGAAAUCCCCAUAGGGGAAUGGAAGAAGAGGAUACGCGAUGACACUGGCCCGGGACUUGUGCAACCCGCAAUUCCCGCGACUGCUACUUUUGAGCUCAAGGGUCAUAUCCUAGCAUUACUUAAAGAAAUACCUUUCUAUGGAAAAGACCACGAAGAUGCCUACAAGCAUUUGGAUGAAGUCAAUGAUGUAGCUAAUUACUUUAAUGUUCCAAAUGUGCCUCGUGAGACUCAGCUGCUUCGCAUGCUUCCAGUGACAUUCAAAGGCGCUGCAAAAGACUGGCUCAAAUCACUUCCCCCCUGAUCAGUCACCACAUGGGCCAAGAUGAAGGAAGAAUUCAUUGAUCACUUUUUCCCACCUUCCAAGAUAGCCAAGUUGAAGAAGGCCAUUGCUAACUUUGAACAACAAGUUGGAGAGUCGCUAUAUGAAGCUUGGGAGAAGUAUAAAAAGUUUGCUACGAAAUUGCCCACACCAUGACCUCAAUAGCCAGCAAGAAGUCUUCGUCUUCUAUGAUGGAGUCAAUGUCACAACCAGACAGUUAUUAGACUCGCAAGGCCCGCUCACAAAGAAGCCACCCCCGAUGAUCAAGGAAUUGAUUGAAGAAUUCUCUAAACACUCUAGAGAAUACCACAACCCUAGAAAUGAUGUUACUAGGGGAGCCGCAUAUGCAGCUACUGAAGACUUAUCCGUUGUCAUGGCUAUGAUAAAAACCAUGGAUAAGAGGAUGGAUAAAAUGGAUCAAACGAUCCAUACUAUUCAGGUGGGUUGUGAAAACUGCAAUGGGCCUCAUCUUGCUAGAGAUUGCGACUUGGAUGAGAAUGACAACAAGAAGGUGCAAGUAUGUUACUCAAGUGAGGACCGAUAUGAUGAAGACUGACGCAAACAAAAGAAAGAGUGGCUCCCUUAUGAAGAGUACAUGAAGGCCAAGGAGGAGAAGUUCAGGCAAAAAGGAAGAGGUUUCUACCAAAAGGAGGAGCCGGUACAAGAGAGAAAGCCAAGCUUGGAAGAGAUGCUUACCAAAUUUGUGGCUGCUUCCAAAAAAGACAUAGUGAUCAUGAUGCUGCAAUUCAAGAAACAAGAACCAUGCUAAGGAACCAGCAAGCAUCUAUCCAUAAUAUAGAAACGCAGCUUGGGCAACUUGCUCAACAAAUCAACCAAAGAUCACCGGGCGAACUUCCUAGUAAAACCGAAAAUAACCCACGAGGCGCGCACAUAAAUAUAGUUACAACAAGAAGUGGGAAAAUAAUCACUCCCUUGGCCCCUAUUCAGACUGAAGCAUCAAAGGAAUCACAGAAGGAGGAGGCAGAAAAUCAAGCAGAAAAUCAAAAUCUUCAAUCUAACAGCUCUACUCGCCGAGUACCAAAUAUGGACUCGGUGAGUACACUGCCAAAUCCGAAGGAACAGGUCCCUGAAAAGUUGUAUCAACCUCCAAUGUCAUACCCAACCCGAGCUAAGAAGGAGAAGCAGGAAGAGGAGUACCAGAAGUUUCUAGAUCAUAUCAAGGCUCUUCAAAUCAACAUACCCUUCAUUGAAGUUGUCAUACAAAUGCCCAAAUAUGCAAAGUUCCUUAAGGAACUUCUCAUUAAUAGAAGGAAGAUGGAGGAAGUGAAGAAGGUAGUCCUCAAUGAAAACUGCUCAGCUGCUAUGCUAAAUAAGCUACCAAAUAAGAAGGGUGACCCGGGGAGUUUGACUUUACCUUGCCAAUUUGGCAACUUGGCUACCAUUCAUGCCUUAGCCGAUUCAGGAGCAAGUGUGAACCUAAUGCCAUAUUCAUUCUUCAAGAAGUUGGAUCUCCCAGAACCAAGGCCAAUUCGCAUGGCAAUUCACUUAGCAAACAAGACAGUCACUUUUCCACGAGGCAUAUGUGAAGACUUAUUGGUCAAAGUGGACAAGUUUGUAUUUCCUACUGAUUUCAUCAUUCUAGACAUGGAGGCGGAUCCCCAAGUCCCAAUCAGCCUUGGAAGACCCUUCCUCAACACGGCAAGUGCUAUAGUAGACAUGAGGGACUCGAAGCUGACCUUGCGGGUAGGAGAAGAUUCAGUCACAUUUGGGGUAGAUCAAGCUAUGAAGUAUGCAAGGAACAGUGACGACACAACGUUCUCAAUUGACAUGCUUGAUGAGUUAUUGGAGGAAUGCAUAAGCGAAGAUUCCAGCAAGUUCAAAAUUUAUGAUGAAGAAUUUGAUCCAGAAAAAGACUUAAUAGAGAUUGAAAGGCUGCUGGAAGAAGCUGAGUUUGAAGAAUUGGUGAAGCAAGCUGACAGCUCUACUCGCCGAGUAGGGCUGAUAUACUCGCCGAGUUCCUCCUUAGAAAAGGCAGAAUUUGUAAAUGCAGCCACAAACUCGUCGAGUACCUUACCUGCACUCAGCGAGUCCAACAGUCGAUUCCAAAAAUCUGAGCUCAAAACGUUACCAGAACAUUUGGAGUAUGCUUUCCUUGAAGAGGGCAACCAAAAGCCAGUAAUCAUAGCCUCUGACCUUGAAGAGGGCAACCAAAAGUGUUGAAGAAGCGGAAGCGGGCCACAACAUGGAGCAUCACCGACAUCAAGGGAUUGAGCCCAUCCUAUUGCUCUUACAAGAUCAAUCUGGAAGAAGGAGUAAAGCCGGUUUUAUAGCACUAAAGAAGAUUAAACCUGAAUAUGCAAGAAGUAGUCAAGAAGGAAGUUGUUAAACUCUUAGAUGCGGGAAUUAUAUAUUCCAUUUCCGACAGUCCGUGGGUGAGUCCGGUCCAAGUGGUGCCCAAGAAAGGAGGGAUGAUGGUCAUAACCAACGAAAAGAGCAAGCUAAUUUCGACACGAAUGGUAACCGGUUGGAGAGUGUGCAUCGAUUAUCAAAAGCUAAACGAUGCCACUCGUAAAGACCAUUUUCCCUUACCUUUUAUUGAUCAAAUGUUAGAAAGAUUAUCGAGCCAUAGUUACUAUUGCUUUCUAGACGGAUUCUUGGGUUAUUUCCAAAUACCCAUAGACCCAAUGGACCAAGAAAAGACCACAUUUACUUGCCCAAGUGGGACUUUUGCUUAUAGGCGCAUGCCCUUUGGGCUAUGCAAUGCACCCACGACUUUUCAAAGGUGUAUGACAGCCAUAUUCCACGAUAUGGUAGAAAAAUUCAUGGAAGUUUUUAUGGACGACUUUUCCGUUUUUGGAUCUUCUUUCCAUGAUUGUCUCACAAAUCUUGACUUAAUGCUUGCUAGGUGUGAAAAAACCGACUUGGUCCUCAACUAGGAGAAAUGUCACUUUAUGGUUGAGGAGGGUAUAGUGUUAGGCCACAAGGUUUCCAAAAUUGGAAUUGAAGUGGAUCGGGCAAAGAUUGACACCAUUGCCAAAUUACCCCCACCAACUAAUGUGAAGGGCAUUAGAAGUUUUCUAGGACACGCGGGUUUUUACCGGCGUUUCAUAAAAGAUUUUUCCAAAAUAACUAGACCUCUAACACAAUUACUAUUAAAAGAUGCACCAUUUAAUUUUACUAAAGAGUGUUUAGAGGCAUUUGAAUUUUUAAAGGAAAAAUUAACUAAUGCCCCGAUCAUUGUUGCACCAAAUUGGAGUUUACCCUUUGAAAUUAUGUGUGAUGCUAGUGACUUUGCAUUAGGAGCUGUCCUUGGUCUAAAGGUUGAUAAGCACUUUCGACCCAUAUAUUAUGCUAGCAAGACUCUAAAUCCAGCCCAAGAAAAUUACACCACCACGGAAAAAGAAUUAUUAGUUGUGGUGUAUGCUUUUGAUAAGUUCCGUCCUUAUUUAGUUUUAUCUAAAACAAUCGUUUUACUGACCACUUUGCUAUCAAGUAUUUAUUUGCCAAACAAGAUGCCAAGCCAAGACUGAUACAAUGGGUGCUACUUCUUCAAGAGUUUGACAUAGAGAUACGAGACAAAAAGGGGAUGGAGAAUGUAGCAGCUGACCACUUGUCAAGGCUUGAAAACCCGCAAUUGCACGAAGAUAGAGUUGGCGAUGAUUUUCCGGACGAGUAUAUUAUGGUGACCGUGGGAGAAGAACCAUGGUUUGCAAAUAUAGCUAAUUACUUAGCUAGCAAUUACAUCCCAAAAGAUCUCACAAGUCAACAAAAGAAGAAAUUCUUUUCCGAGAUAAAAUAUUACUUUUGGGAUGAACCAUAUCUUUUCCGAAGCUGCACGGAUGAGAUCAUACGAAGAUGCAUGUUCGGGAAUGAAAGCCAGAAAAUAUUAGAGCAUUGUCGUAGUGGGCCCACGGGUGGACAUCAUGGAGCACAUUACACUGCAAAGAAGAUCUUUGACAUUGGGUUCUAUUGGCCCACAAUUUUUAAAGAUGCAGCCCAAUUUGUCAAAGAGUGUGAUGCUUGUCAAAGAGUGGGAAACAUUUCAUCUCGAAAUGAAAUGCCACAACAUAGUAUCCAAGUGUGCGAGGUAUUUGAUGUGUGGGGGAUCGACUUCAUGGGACCAUUUCCCAUGUCUAAAGAAAACAAAUACAUAUUGGUGGCGGUGGAUUAUGUAUCCAAAUGGGCGGAGGCACAAGCGUUACCAACUAAUGACGGUCGGGUAGUGGUGCGGUUUUUAAAGAAGUUAUUUUCACGAUUUGGAGUCCCGAAAGCUCUUAUAAGUGACCGAGGCACGCAUUUUGCCAAUGAUCAACUAUAGAAGGUGCUAAGGAAAUAUGGGAUAACCCAUAAAUUUUCUACAUCCUACCAUCCACAAACUAGUGGACAAACCGAAGUGACAAAUCGAGCUUUAAAGCGAAUCUUGGAGAAAUCGGUGGGGAGCAAUCGCAAAGAAUGGUCGGAUAAGCUAGACGAUGCACUUUGGGCUUUCCGUACAGCUUUCAAAACCCCUAUUGGUACUACACCAUAUAGGUUAGUUUAUGGAAAGCAAUGUCAUUUGCCGGUGGAGAUAGAGCAUAAAGCUUUUUGGGCUUUAAAGAUGUGAAACUUCAACAUGGAGGAACUCAAGAGCAGCCGGUUAAUGUAAAUGAAUGUUCUUGAGGAACUUAGAAAUGAUGCAUACUCUAGUUCGUUGAUCUAUAAAGAGAAGACCAAGAUGUGGCAUGUCAAGAGGAUAAAAGAAAAUAAAGAAUUUCAUGAAGGCCAAAAAGUGUUGCUCUUUAAUUCACAACUAAAGCUAUUCUCGGGAAAACUCAAUUUAAGAUGGGAUGGUCCUUUUCUGGUAAAGACGGUGUUUCCACAUGGUGCUAUAGAGCGAUUGUCAAGAGAUGGAACACCUUUCAAGGUCAAUGGACAUAGGGUCAAAAAGUAUAAAGAAGGAGUCCCCAGGAAUGAAGGUAUGGAAGAAUUGUUGUUGCUGGAGGGAAUUGAAACCACGUAAAAGGGGAGGAGUCCGGCUAAUGACUCCUUAAAAAGAAGCGCUUCUCGGGAUGCAACCCGAGUCUCAAGUUUGCAUUUUCUUUCCUUUCCUUUAUUUUUAUUUUUAUUUUAUCUUUUUCAUUCGUCUUCUUCUAAGAAUAUAAUUGCUUGAGGGAAAGCAAUGCCUAGAGAGUGGGGUGGAUGGUUAAAAAUGAGAAAAUACAUUAAUUUUUCAAAACAUUCAAAUUUUUUUCAAACUGCAAGGAUUACUCACUGAGUAGGCACGUAUACUCGGCGAGUACCUGCCCAAGUAACCCAAUAAACGCAUAACAGCAGUUCUACUCGGCGAGUAGCCAACUUACACAGAUGGUUUAUAAUCUGUAAAAUAAGGGUUUUCUCCCAUUUAACCUAUACACUCGCCGUGCACGGCAUCCUUCAAGCAUUCUCUGUGAUUUCUUCAAUUUUCCACUUAAUCUUCGUCUUUCAAAGGAAAAGGUAAGAUCUUUACACUUAAAACUCAUCAAAGGUUCAAGCUUUAUCAUUGAUUUGCCCUUAUUUUGCUUAAAUUCGGAUUUGGGGGUUUCCUCAGAUUCUAGGGUUCUAACUUUGCCAUGAAUUAGGUAAUGUUAGGAGAAAUUUCUUUUGGAUUUAUGGUUAUUUGACUUAAUACAGCAAACCCCUAUGAAAAAUUAGGAGUUUUGGACAGCCUAUAUAUGAUCGACGAAUUUUGGUCCCGAUGUUCAUCCUACUCGCCGAGUAGGUCGUGUACUCGGAGAGUAGGAGGCUAUACAGAACUGUUUUAUUCGAUUUUAAUUACUGGGUGUUGUUUGUUUGUGCUUUCUUAAUGUUGUUAUGCAGGUACCAUGUCCAGAAGGGGUCAGUCUUCACGAGGGGGAAGCCAAGAGGACAUCCCAUGGCUCUCGUUCCGUCAAAUUACAUCCAAAUCGUCUCAUUCCCGUGCAAAGAACAAGUUGGAGGCGCUGAAACAGAAGGAGAUUCAUUUACCCAACGCUGUUGACUGGUAUUGGUUGGGAAAAGUGGGUUUGGAGGAGGAGCUCACACCAUAUUUGGUGAAGGAGUGCAACUUGGGGGAUACCACCAUCAUAUGUGAUGGUUGGUUGCAGUUAUUCAAGCUACAAGAACCUGUUUAUGCUGAACUGUGUUGGGAAUUUUUUGCUACCAUCUCAUUCCGAGGUGGUAGUGAGUAUUACAACCCCAACAUAAUUUCUUUUUCUCUUGGUGGUGAGCUGCGACAAUGCAGCAUGGCUGAAUUUUCCUGGAGGCUGAGGAUUUAUGAUUAAAACACUAUGCUGACUGAGGAUUUUGAAGCCUUUCUGGGAAACUGCCAUAAGGAUCUUCCCGAGGCAGUGGUUGCCUCUACCUGGUGGAAUACUAUUGCCAACCGGGUGUAUAAUCCUUCUACCGCUCAGGAGGGUCAUAUUCGCUCGCCGAUCCAUCAUCUUAUUCACCACUUCGUGGCCAACACGAUCAACAUGUUGAAGGAUUAGGACAAGGUUCCAACCCUUGAUACCUUCUAUCUUUGGAGUAUUAUUACUCCCGACGUUUUCUGCAACAUCCCCUAUUGCAUAGCUAAGUUUCUUGCGGAAGGGGCUGUUAAGGAGAAGAUCAACUCCAAGAUCAAUGGAGGGAUGUUUGUGACGAGGUUGGCGAGGUCGUUUUGGGUCUUAGAUUUGCAAGAAGCAAGAGCGCUCACGGUCAUUUAUNUAUCCCCCCCCGUUCAACACUGCAUUAUAUAGGAGGGCACGGAUCGUGGAGAAGUUUGGUGAUUCCUUUUCCAUUCCACAUGCGGAUGAGCCGGCAAUCCUCGAGGAGUCAGGAAGGCGGGUAAGGCAACGUAGCGAGCGGGUACAAGAAGACCCACCGGUUAUUCCGGUGGAGGAGGACAACGAUGGGUGGAAUCAAGUGGAGUACCGACGCUAUUUGGACGAUAUUGGAAGAGGAGUAAACUAUAAUAAUCAAUCUUUUGAAUACCUCUUCCAACAAAUGAACAUUGCACCAAGACCCGGACCCAGCUAUCCAUACAUUAUGAGUUGGGAAGAAAGAAUGAGGAGAAGAAAUAAAGAAGGAGGAAGCGGAGCUGGAGGAGCCGAUAUGGAAGAAGAAGAUUGAGGACUUUAUUUUUAUGUUUUAUGUUUUUAUGGUGUUUUGUUUUGAACAAUUGUUAAAACUUGGAUGAUUUUUGUUUUUUUUAGGAUUUUUAUUGCUUUCACUUUUAGUUGCUUAUUUUUCAGGGAUGGAAGGUUAGGAACCAUAAUAAAGUGUCAAGGGUCAAGUAAGGAAUGAGAGAUGUUCAAGAAAAAGUACGAAGUAUUGUCCUUAGGAUUGAGUCCGUUAGAGUCGAGAGUAAUGGAGGGUGUUGCUGCUGAAGGGUUUAGAGAAAGGGUCAGUGAAAUUUCCAAUUUCAAAACCUGAGUCAAAAGGAACACGAGUUGGAUCAGUUUUGGAAAUAUAGUGCCUACUCGCCGAGUGCACAAAUUCUACUCGGCGAGUACAUGGGUCAUUACACGUUAUAGUUCCAAGAUAAGAGACACUCGCCGAGUACACGGCAAUACUCGCCGAGUAGACUUGCAAUUUUCGAGUUCCAGAGCUGUUUUGAGCAUUUUCAUUGCAAUACUUGUCCGUUUUUCGUGAAGAAUUGUUACUGAAGAUUUCUAAGAAGUUUUUCCCUUGAUAUUUUCGAGCUGUCAACCACACGAGACGAAUGACACCCAAGACAUGGAUGAGCUGUUCCCAUGUCUAAAGUCAAAUGAAGAUGGAGCUGAAAAGAAGAGUUAUCAACCUAUCGACUGCUACCCCAGGGGAGUUUGUUCCAAUUCUCUCUAUAGUUUGCAUUUUUAUUUUUGCAUGAUAUGCAAUGAGGGCAUUGCAUAAAAUAAGUGUGGGGUAGGGGGUUGGUCACAUAUUAUUAAAUCUAGAAUCUUAAUUUGUGCUAAUUUUAAAAAAAUUUGCAUACCAAGAAUAUGAAUUAGGAAUUAAUUUAGAAAAUUUUGGUAAAAAUAAUAAUUAGGAUUCCGUGUUAGAAUUGUAUGGAUAAUUGCAUGAAGACCCAAAUAUUUAGUUGAGCCAAUAUAUGUUAUAAUGUAUUUGUGGCCUCCCUUAUUCUAGUAAAAUCAUGGGACAAAAACACAACCUUGCUUAGCCCGAGGGAUGCAAUAUGUUUAGCAUCGUGUACUUGAAAUGUAUCCAGGAAAAUUGUUAUUUUAGCCAAUAAAUGUUGAAGUUGAGCGCCCCUGCUUAAGCAUGUAGGGCUUUGAGUGAAAAAAAAGUGAGAUACAUGUUAAAAAAAGAGAAUUACAAGAAGAGUUUGAAGAGUUUUGAAGCUUUCAAAGUGGAGAUCAAAAGAUUGAAAAUUCUGAAAAUUAAAAUUUUUUGAAGAUACCAAAGAUCAAGAAGAUAGUGAAUUCAAAGAAAUCAAGAUCAAAUGCCAAGAAGUGAAGAAUUCCAAAGAACUCUAGUGUGGUAUCAUGUAUUGUAAUUCUAGACUAUGUAUGCUUGGGUUGCUCAAUCAAAAAUACCUUGAGGAUAAGAGGUUUUCUAGGGAUGGAUUCGGAGGGAUGCAUAAAAUGAGCAUUGUUCGGGAAAAGUGGGUGAAUGUUUAUAAGGAUUGUGAGUAUUUAGAGUAUGGGGGUAUUUAGGACAAUUUUAGACACCAAUGCAUGCGUUGCGGUCUUGGCAUAAUGGCUGGGUUAGAUUGGAGUUGUCAUAUGUGGUUCUAAAAUGUUAAAAUUCAGUUUUGCUUGGGGGCAAGCAAAAGUCAAAUGUGGGGUAUUUUAAUAUGUGCAUAAUUAGUUAAUUAUUUAGCAUACAUUUUUAUUCAUUUUUAACUAAUUAUGUGUAUAAUGUGGACAAAAGGUACUUAAUAAUGUUUAAAUUUUGUUUUCGGUCCAAAAGACAUGCUUGGGAGUGAAAGGGAACGAGGGGAAGCAAUUAGAGACCAAAGAAUGAAGAAUGAGGGACAAAAGCCUUCCUACUCUGCGAGUUUACGAGCCUACUCGGCGAGUUCAUUAGAAUAUUUUAGAAGAUAAGUCAAGACUCCUGGUAUGAGACGGAUAACUACCAUUUACUCGGCGAGUUGGGUCUGCUACUCGCCGAGUACACCCUGUUUUGUGAUAAUUAUAAAUACCAAGCUAUUAUCCCAUUGGAAGGACUUCUGACGUUUUUGGAGCUUCAUCUGCGAUUGAAGAACCCUUGGAGGAGCUAAGGAACCCUAAUCUUCAAUCCCUUGAAGAAUCAAGGCAAUUAGGUUAAUCAUUCCACUUAGCUUUAGGAAUUAAGUAUGUUUAGCUUAGUUAAAUUUGUUUUUGUGUUUGUUUUUACUGCAACUAUGAACUAAAUUCGUUUUUGUUUCUGUUUGGGGAAUACCAAGUAACUCCUAUGGUUUAAUUCUUAGUUUUUGAUUGAUUUUCUAUUGGUGAUUUGUUAAAUUAAGUUUGUUAAAGAACCUUAUGCAUUAAUCACAACUAUUUUCUGUUAAUUGGAAGACAAUUAAGCUGCAUGAACAUCUCUUAGUUGUUAACCUCAUAUGUCUAUGUGAACACUUAAUCAUAUGCUUAGGAAUAAUGAAUAUGAAAAUAAGAUUAACAAGAGAAUGGGUAAAUUAAUGUGUGAGCUUUUUUGAGAAACCAACAAACAAGAGGUUAAUUGAACCGCCAAUUUGAUUAACCAAUUACAAAUCUUAUUUAAUCCAAAUAAUUAAUCUAGCGAAUUAAUUAGUUUAAACACUUGAUCACUGCUUGAAUUAAUUGAUUGUCUAAGGGUUAGUAGUAAUGAACAUGAACCUAACCACUAUAGUUGGUAGCCAAUAGCAAUUAAUCUAUCAUAAAUUCAAAAUAACCAUAAGAGUGAAUUGGUUGAACCUAAAUAGAAACAUCUUAAUCAAAUUUGGUGAAUUAGUUGCUUGCUUUAGUUAUUUAGUUAAUUAAGUGUUUAAGUUGUGUGUUUAAGUUUCUAGUCUUGCAAAACUAGAGAAAAACACUUUUUACUUUCAUUAUUUGCUUAGUCAAAAUUAGUUUUUAGGUUAAUUUAUGUUCCCUGAGUUUGACACCAUACUAAUCCAAUUAUACCACUAAAAGACAGGUUCACUGCCUUUGUGUGCUAAAUUUAUUAACUAAAAGUAGGAAUAAAACAAGUGCAUUUUACACACAUCAGAACCUAAUUGAUGUGCUCAAUUUAGUUCUAUGUCGAAACAAAUUAGAGAUCGAGAAAAAAAUGUUGGACAAUAAGUAAGACCAUGUUCCAUGUGUUUGUCCGGCUGAUAUCAUGAGAACAGAGGAUUAUAUGAUCACUUAUCUUAAAUGGCGUAUCAUCAUCAUCUCAGUUCCGAGAGACUUUGAAAGAGCUACGAUUGCUAGUCGGAUUUUGAAGUCAUAUUUGCAAAUAUAGUUAUUAGACUUAUCCAAGUGGGAGACUGUUGGAUAUAGUGUCUAAGUCCAUAACUUUAUUUGGUAUGUACUUGACCCAACCCAGCAUGAUCCAUUUGGGUUGCAUGGCAUUGCAAUACUUGGAUAAACUAAAUGAGAGAAUGAGGCACUUGUGAUUAUUAAUAUAUUAUAAGCUCUAAUAUAUUAAUAAUAGUAUUAUUUAAUUAGUAUUGAUCAAAUAUUAAUUUGGUGAUCAAAGUGAGACUAAUUAAAUAUAUAGGGUUGAUUAUGACAAUCAUCAAUUAUUUUAUGGUGGAUUAAUGAUCCAUGGUUUAUGGGUUAUGGAUGUAACCAUUUGGAGCUCCAUGGAUAGUCCAUGGGAGUUACAAACCCAUGGGCCAUGAGAAAUGAAGAGUCAUGACAAUUAUGGGUCUUCAUGAUGAAACCCUAAUUGUGACACCACUAUAAAAGGACCCUUUGGCUAGCAAAAUCGGACCUAGUGUUACUAGAGAGGGCAUAACCGAUUUUUAAGUGUAAGAAUUAUUCUCUCAAGUUAUUCCAAGUUUUGUGGUGUUGUGUGAAGCAUUUGAGGCACGACAUUUGGGGUGCUAGGCUCACAUAGUCUUGAAGGAAUCCAAGCAACAACAAGGUAUGUAUUUCUAGUAGUUUUUAUGUUUUAUGUAAUCCCCAUGUCAUGCUAGUUAGGAAAUAACCUUGAAAAAGAAUUUUGCAUGUAUAUAGAGAAAACAUAGAUUCAAGGUUAUUAGGGUUGCAUGUACACUUAGGAAGUGUUAGAAUGCUCAAAACCCAUCAAUACAUUGUAUAAAACCUGUAUAGCAUGUUUAUUCAAUAUAUAUUCCAAAUAACAUAUGAGGCACAUACACAUAACACGUAUUUCAUAGAGAAUAAAUCAUAUCUAUGAGUCAGAAGAAAGUGAAUAUAAAUUCACACAUAUAACACAGAUAUAUACAUAUAACACGUAUUUCAUAUCAAAUACUUCAUAAUUAUGCAUUAGAAGAAAGUAACUACACACUCACUUGAUCAGAAGAUGAUCGGGCAGCACUACGGCUCUAAGAGUAGUAUUCUUCGGUGAAACCGGGAUCACUUUACACAACGGGCUUCUCGCUAGCAGAGCUUCAGCUCGGAAACUAUUUUCUUCUCAGGAUCUUCGGGCUUCGUGACUCGCUUUGGGUCUCGGGAUGCUAUUGGGGCUUUGGGGGUACUUCUUUGCAUGUAAAUCGAGGUAAUAUGAGUGAGAGGAGAGAAUUUGAGCAACCAAACUCUGCUGGCCCUUCAAAUCUAUUUAUAGGGCAAAGUUUUCAUUUUCCACGUCGUGGGUUUGGUCGUCAUUGCAUGCUUCAUCGCAAGUUGGGUCUAGGAGACUCCAGGAGGCGUCAAAAGACUUUCCAUGUCGUGGCACUGUUUGCCACGUCGUGGUGGCUGACAGUUUUGGGGUUUCGCGCCCCGAACUUUAGAAAUUCAUAACUUUUGCAUACGAACUCCGUUUUCGACAUUCGUUAUAUCGACGCGUAGGUGAGAAUAUGCUCUACAACUCUCGUUUAGACUCCAUUGGCUAACUUUGGCUUUAUUUUUAAUAUAUUAUAAAUAUAUUACUUUUAUAUUAUUUUUAGUAGGCCGGGACAGGAAAACUCCAAUAGAAAUUCAUAACUUCUUCAUCCGACAUCCAUUUUUGUCUGUCUUUUUACUGUUGGACUACUAUCGAAGAGAUCUUAGGUUCUCAUUUAGAUUUUUUCAGCUAAAAAUCACUCGAUCUCAUAUUCGAGUAUCCGGGUUGCAUACCGCUAAGUCGAAACUUCGGAAAAUAACUUCCUCAUACGAAGUCAGAUUUGGGCAUUCUUUUUAUGCACGCUCUCGGUAUAACGAAAUCUUCAAAUUUCGUUUAGAUUGCUAAGGAUAUAUAUCGCUCUAUCUUAAAAUUCAUAUUUUACGUCAUUCGGCGUCGUGUCGGUUCUGUCGCGAAACUUUGACAGAUCAAAACUUCUUCGUUAUAACUCGGAUUUCGACGUUCUUUAUAUCUCCGGAAUCCUUGUUUCGACCACUACAACUUUAUGUAAAGAUAUUAGGUUUAUCUCACACUUCAUUUUGACGCUUAUUUUAUUCUUAAUUCAAUUAAUACACACAACUAAACACAAAACACAUAAUACUCAAAUAAUACACUUCUAUUAUUUCAAAACGGGUUACAAAGGUUAACCUAGACUAUUAUAUUAACAUUAAUGACAAGCCCAGAAACACAAGCGUUACACUUUCCACCUUCAAGAUAUAAUGGAAACAAAGGACUAUGUGGUCCUCCCCUUACCAAAAAAUGUCAUGGAGAUGAAGAAUCAGAAUCACCACCCAUCAUUGGUAAAAGUAAGGGUGAUGGGGAAGACACAGAUGAUGAACUCAUGAGAUUGUUUUAUGUUGGUGGGGGCAUGGGUUUUGCUACUGGAUUUUGGAUUACAUGUGGGGCUUUCCUUGUCAACCGUCGAGGGAGACAUGCAUUUUUUCAUCUUUUUGAUAGCUUCAAAGAUUGGGUUUAUGUGAAGGUGGUUGUGUUCGUUUCAAGUUUGCAAAAGGCUAGACAGAUGUAAUUUGUUAUCUAAUUCUUAUUUUUGACUUCUUAUUUCCCAGUAUAGAAUGUAAUAUGGUAGUGGUUUUUAAUCCCCCAAUAUCAAUAAAUUAAGACUACUUUUGGCGCAUUUUUGUGACUUGGUAGUCGGUAAUUAAGUGCGCUUUAUUUAUGUUUAAUUAAAAAUGAGCUUUCAAUUAGAUGGGUGGGCCAUUAGGUUUAACUAAUAAAGAACUCUUAAAAACCAAGACUGAUACGACGCACAAGGCACGACAUGAUUCAGUGACAAUAAAAAUAAUUAAAAAAUAUCAGGCAUUCAAUCAUCUUCUCCAAGUUGAUUGUCAACGAAUCGUUUUCUACUCUUCUUCAGCUAUACUUCUUCCAGUCACUAAACACCAAGGUAUGUUGCAUAGUUUCCUACUUUCAUUCUACCCCAAUUCUACUCUCCUAUCAGCUCUCUAGUCUCUAGUUUCAUGCAUAGUAAUGUAAGUAUGUAACAUUGUAAUGAAUCUUCUCUGCAUGCAUGUAAAUUGUAUAGAAAUUGUGUCUAUAAAUUGUAAUUUGGUUGACUGAUUGACUGUAUAUGCUACAUUAUGAUUGUAAUGUGUAAAUUUGUAUGUAAGAUGCAUGCUAGUACAUUGCUAAUUUGCUAGUUAAUACUUUUGCUGUUAAUGUUAUAAAUGAAAUAAUGAAUUAUGAAUCGGGUUUGUUACUUUGUAUACUCUCUGUAUAUUUCUCUCUUUCUUAAUUUAUAUGUGAUCAAAUAUAAUCAUUGUUUUAUACUUAUGUUGUAUUGUUGUCUUGCUGAUUUGUUGUUAAUUAAGUGUUUACCUGUAAAGUCAGAAGUGAAAACUGUUGCGAACUUAUGAUUAUGAUGUAAUGUUGUUAACUGUUUGACUGUUUCAGUGUUCUGUCAGUUGUCACUGUUAUGUACUUAUGUUAUAGUGUUAUUUUAUACAAGAUUACAAUUAGAUAUGUUUUGAUAUUUUGAUGUUUUCUAAAUUUUAAUUUCUAUUUUGUUAUACAUAAUGGUUUCGACUUUAGAUGACCUAGGUAGGAGAUAUGGUGCACAAGGUCCAAGUAAUAAAAACAAUUUUGUGUGCUCUUUUUGUGGACAAGUUCUGAAAGGAUGAGUAUAUCGCCUCAAACAACACUUGUUUGGCGGUCAUAAAGAUGCAAAUAAAUGUCCAAAUGUUCCUAUUAUUGUCCAGGUUCAGUAGGGUAGAGUUAGACCAAUUUCAGAGAUUUUGAAGAGGAUAAGGAGAAGAAAGUCGGAGAGAAUCUUGAAGUUGAAAUUAGGCAAGACAAUUGGUGGUGUUGAUGAUCCAGGAAAUUCUAAGGGAAGAACUCUUCUAAUUGAUUGGUGUUGAAUUUGUCUUUGUGUUAUUUGGAUUUAAUUUAUGUGUAUUAGGAUGAUGGUAAAUUUCAUUUGAGUUUAAUGUGUGUGUAUUUGGAUUGUUGUUUGAAUUUAAGGUAAUUGUCUUUGUUACGUACAUGUGAUGUGAAAAAGGUUAUGUUGGUCAUUUUUAUUCCAUGUUGUUGUUAUUGGUAAAUAGAAAAGGGUAAUUUGGUAAAGUUUAGAGUGAAUUUUAAAGUACAUUGUAUUUUGAAAGUAAAGUAAUGACAUAAAAGGGUAUUUUGGUCACUUAUGAAUAUAUAUUGCAUUUUGAAAGUAAAGUCAUGACAUAAAAGGGUAUUUUGGUUACUUAUGAAUGUAUAUUGCAUUUUGAAAGUAAAGUCAUGACAUAAAAGGGUAUUUUGUUCACUUAUGAAUGUAUAUUGCAUUUUUAUGGUAAAGUUGUGACAUAAAAGGGUAUUUUGGUCACUUAUGAAUGUAUAUUGCAUUUUGAAAGUAAAGUCAUGACAUAAAAGGGUAUUUUGGUCACUUAUGAAUGUAUAUUGUAUUUUGAAAGUAAAGUCAUGACAUAAAAGGGUAUUUUGGUCACUUAUGAAUGUAUAUUGCAUUUUGUAAGUAAACUCAUGACAUAAAAGGGUAUUUUGGUCACUUAUGAAUAUAUGUUGCCUUUUUAAGUAAAGUCAUUACAUGAAAGGGUAUUUUGGUCGCUUAUGAAAGUAUGUUGCCUUUUUAAGUAAAUUAAUGACAUGAAAGGAUAUUUUGGUCACUUAUGAAAGUAUGUUGCUUUUUAAGUAAACUCAUGACAUAUGGCUUUGUAUAUUUUUGCAUGGAAAAAUUUGGAAUAAUGUGCAUGCAUGUAAAUGUGUUAUAUGGUCCCAGAUAUGGUUCUACAAUGGGUUGAAAGGUCCCGUUGUUCCAUUAUAAAAACACCUUACUAACUAUUAACUAAAAAUGGUCCCCAUACAUAGUGUAUUUUCACAUGGACCACUUUCUACUUUAUUCUCAAUAUAAUAUCAUGCACAUCAACUAAUUUAGUUAUAUAUAAUAAAAGGAAAACAAGCCAUGCAUGUUUCAAUAACAUAAACAUCUCCAACAUCUUAUUAUAUAAAAUGCCCGACAAUUAGGACUUUCAAUCUGGCUUUACAAUAGUUAUAAAAUGCCCUUUCAUUAGGGAAUUACCAGUUUACAACAUCAACACACCAAGGUUGACACCCCCAAAUUCUAACUAAAAGUUGCUUCCAAACAUACAAAAUGCCAAUCAUUAUUGAGUUUUCUAGUCUGCCUUUACAAAAACAUACAAAAGCUUACAUUAACCACUCUAACUAACUACAAUCACUCCCUAACUUCAAAACAAAAAAAGACCAACCCAAAAAAUAACAUUGCAACUAUCAUCCUGUACCUGCCUAUUGUCUUCCUUGAAUCAGAAACAUCUUUCUCACUCUUUGCCACCUUACACUUCUCAUGUGACAAUAGGAACUCCACUUCAACAAUCAUUGUCUCCAAAUUGUUCAUCUCAGACAGAUCCUCUUUAGCAUCCAGUUUCUGCUUUAUAGAAUAUGAAAGGUUUUUGUAGUACCCUUGUUCAUGUUCAUUGUCUUUCCAAUCAAUUAAAAAAUGAAAAUGUUUUGAUUUAGAUAGUAAAUAAAGAUUAAGGAAAUCAGUUGCGUUUAAUGUACUAACGAAAUGAGUUUGAUUCACGAUCACAAAGAUUCCGCAAGAAGAAAAUAAAAUUACUUUUUUUUCCAAAUGCAAAACUAGCAUGAUAGGCUUUACACGAACAAUCAAACCCUAAAAUACAAAGGUAGCAUGAUUAGGAUUAUUGGGACCUACCAAACUGUUUUGACAAUUCCAGAAACUCGUCUAUUCUAUAUAUUUAUCUCCCACAUCGUCGCCACCGCCGUUGUCAUGUUCUUGGUUCUCCAUCAGAUAAAUGAUCGUCCAUCACACUCACAGGUACUCAGCGCAUUUGUUCUUCUAUUCUCUAUUUUCUGUUGAAUGUUGGGCUGAUUUUUCGGUUUAGAUUUUAUAUUCAACGUCAUUUUUUAAUUUUUAUAUACAGACCCAAAUAAGAUCAUUGCUAUUUUCAUAGGUAGAUUUGUAUUUGAUUUUGUUAUUGUGUUUUUUGGGAUUUAUAUCACAUUACUUAGGCCCAAAAAAUAUUUUGGAAAAGAUAUAGAUAAUAAAUACAAAUUUACAAGACUUGCUAUGUCUUUGAACGGCUAAUUUGGGUCGGUUUAUUUCAAUGCUUUGAUCUUUCAUGGAAAUUGCAUAUUGUAUGUCCCACCCCCACAAAAGCAGAGACCAAUUUGAACCACCCACUUAGAAUGAUUAUCUUCAUAGACCGAGAUUAUAUAAAUGGAAAAUGACUUAAAAGCCCAACGAAGUUUUCAAACCAUUCAAAAAACCCCAGUCAUGUUUUGGUUGUUCAGAAAAACCUAACGAACUUAACAUUUUGUCUAAAAAGUCCAACAAAGUUCCAAACCGUACAAAAAAUCCCAAUUUUGUUUUGUUUAAGUUCGUUGGGUUUUUUUUUGAACAGUUAAAACAUGAUUGGAGUUUUUUAAAUGUUUUGGAAACUUCGUUGGCCUAACAUGUCACUUUUCCGAUACGGUAAUAGGCCACGUCAUCUGUUUCUCGUAUUUGACUUUCAGGAAAGUGUAACUUCGUUGGGCUUUUUAGACAAAAUGUUAAGUUUGUUGGGUUUUUUUAAACAGACAAAACAUGAUUGGGGUUUUUUGAACGGUUUGAAAACUUCGUUGGGCUUUUAAGUCAUUUUCCCUUAUAUAAAUCCUCGGCUUUUAAGUCAUUUUCCCUUAUAUAAAUCCUCACUCAUGAGGGCAGUUCAUAUAUGUAUCAAUACAAACCAAAAUCGCCAAUAUCUUCAUCUACAAUAUGAAUCCUUGUGUUUUUAUAAUUUUCUCACUUCUGUUGCUAACUGCCAGCCAAUUGGAAGGAGAUGAUAGAAAUAUGAAAAAGUGUUUGGAUAAGGAGAGACGCGCUCUCCAUCUUUUCAAAGCUCCCCUUGAUUGCCCCUUUGGUUGUUUCUAUACAUGGACAGCUGAAAUUGAUUGCUGUGCAUAGGGUGGAGUCACAUGUGACAACCAAACAGGUCAUGUCAUAGGGCUUGAUGUCAGUGACUAUUCUCUUGAAGGUAAGUUAAGCCAUUCAUUUCUUAACUUAACCUACUUGAAUCAUCUUCAUCUUUCCAGAAAUUCUCUUCAUGGAACCAUUCCCAGGUCCAUUGGUUCCUUGACUAGAUUAAGCUACCUUAACAUCGGCUUCAAUAAUCUUAAUGGAACCAUUCCUAGGUCCAUUGGUUCCUUGACCAAAUUAAGUUACCUCGACCUUGGCUCCAAUAAUCUUAGUGGAACCUUUCCCACCUUCAUUGGUUCUUUGACUCGAUUAACCUACGUUGACCUUUUCUAUAACUCUCUUUAUGGAACCAUUCCUCAAGAGUUUGGAAACCUCACCAACUUGCAACAUCUUUCCCUUGGACCUGAUGGAGGAUGUAGAGUUGAAAACAUAGAGUGGGUGUCUCAUCUCUCUCAUUUGCAUUACCUCGCAUUGGAUGGGAUUUCCCUAGCCAAACAAAAUCACUGGGUAGAUGUUAUUCUGAGCCUCCCGAAACUCUCAUAUUUAUCUUUAGAUGGAUGUGAGCUAUCACAGAUCAUGUAUCCAUAUUCUUCAUUAAUUCUCAACUCUUCUUCCUCUAUUGUUGAACUUCGACUUGGAAACAACAAUCUGACCUCAUCCAUGUAUCGUUGGUUGCUCCCAUUUACCAGCAAUAGCCUUGUUCAUCUUGAUCUCUCUGGAAACAUGUUAGAUGGGAUACCCAAAUAUCUUGGUAACCUCUGUACUCUGGAAACUUUAUACUUCUCUUACAACUCUGCUGUUGUCAAAUUUUCUGAUUUUCUCAACAACCUGUCUGGAUGCACAUCCCUUUCAUUACAAUACUUGGUGGCUUCUUAUAGCCAAUUUACAGGGCCAUUGUCUGGUGACAUCCAAAACUUUUCAUCCUUAGCACGGUUGGACAUAUCUGAUAAUCACUUAAAUGGAAGUAUAAGUGAGAAACUGUGGGAACUACCCUGGCUCCAAACCCUUGACCUUUCUUUUAAUAAUCUUAGAGUUCCUUCCACAUAUCACUUGUCAAACAUCUCUUAUGUUAAAUAUCUUGAUCUGAGCUCUUGCAAGCUGCUAGGGCCUCGCUUCCCCAAAUGGAUUCACACAUUCAAAAAUCUUUACCAUCUUGAUCUUUCUAAUACUGGAAUUUCAGACACAAUUCCUUUGGAGUUUUGGGACGUGUGGCCUUAUCCUUUAACAUAUCUGAAUCUCUCUUCCAACAAUAUUAGUAGGAAAGUGCCAGAUUUAUUUUUAAUCUUUGACGCAUAUUCAGUGAUAGAUUUGAGUUCCAACAGCUUUUAUGGUCCAAUACCUAAAUUCUCUUUCGAAAUGGAAUCAAUAAAUCUUUCCAGAAACAAAUUCUCUGGAGGAAUCUCUUUCAUAUGCCAAGCUGUUUAUGGAUUCUUAUUAUUUCUUGACCUCUCUCAUAACUCAUUAAGUGGACAACUCCCAGACUGUUUGUGGAAUUUCGAUUCCCUAACAGUUCUUAAUCUGGGGCACAACAAUUUCUUUGGUAGGCUUCCUCCCUCUAUUGGAUCUAUGAUAGAACUCCAGGUGUUGUAUUUAUACGAUAACAACUUCUCUGGAGAAUUGCCUUUCUCUUUAAAAAAUUGCAAGAGUUUAAUCUCGUUGGAUUUGGGGGCCAACAAGUUUUCUGAUAACGUGCCUGUCUGGAUUGGGGAAAACUUAUCAGGGUUGAAUGUUCUUAUCCUAAGAUCAAACAAAUUCUUUGGAACCAUCCCUUUACAGUUAUGUCAGUUACCUAAUCUUCAAAUUCUAGACCUGUCAAUGAACAGUCUCCAUGGAACCAUCCCUUCAUGUUUGAGUAAUCUUACAAACAUGGUUCAACAAGGAGGAUUCUCACAAGAUGUAUUGUUUUAUGAAAGAAUAAGAGGUUAUGCAACUAGAGCGGGGAUAUAUGUCGACCAUGCACUGAUCGAGUGGCAAGGAGUUGAACGUGAAUUCUUUAGCACUCUGAAAUUGUUGAAGGCCAUUGACCUGUCAAGCAACAAUUUAACAGGACAAAUCCCAUAUCAAAUUACCAAUCUUUCUGACUUGGUUUCCCUGAAUCUGUCAAAGAACGCUCUAUCCGGAGAGAUCCCACAGAAAAUUGGUGAGAUGAAAAAGCUUUUGACUUUGGAUUUAUCCAGAAACAAUUUCUCAGGGCAGAUACCAUCAAGCAUGUCUCAGAUGAGUUUACUGAAUUACCUAGACUUGUCAUUUAAUAACUUGUCAGGGAGAAUCCCAACAAACACUCAGCUCCAGUCCUUUCAACCUUCAAGAUAUGUUGGAAACAAAGGACUAUGUGGACCUCCCCUUACCAAAAAGUGUCCUGGAGAUGAAGAACCAGUAGCAACAUCGGUGAUUGGUAAAAAUGAUGGUGAUGGGGAAGACACAGAUGAUGAACUUGAGAAAUGGUUUUAUAUUGGUGGGGGCAUGGGUUUUGCCACUGGAUUUUGGAUGGCAUGUGGGGCUUUACUUCUCAACCGCCGUGGGAGACAUGCAUUUUUUCAGUUUUAUGAUAGCUUCAAAGAUUGGGUUUAUGUGUUCAUUGCAAGCUUGAAGAUGGCUAGACAUACGUAGUUUGUUAUCUAAUUUCUAUUUUAACUUCUUAUUUCUCGGUAUAGAAUGUAAUUUGGCUGUGGUUUUUAAAUCCCGAAUAACAAUAAAGUUGCGACUAACACAUGGGUGGACACCAUGGGUGGCCAAUUUCCCCGUGUUGUUUGAAAAUUAUAUUUGUACAAAAACCGGUUUGGAAAACUAUUAUUUAGUAAUUAAUCAGCCUAGUGGCUUGGACGGGAAGACUUCUUGAAGUUUUUUGGUUUUUACAAUUGAUUCAAUAGAAAUUCAUCCUCUCUCAUUAUCCUCCACGUUUCCAUUUAUUGCCUAGUAUUCUUAUCAGUUAUACUCUGAACAAAGAAAAGUCAUUUUAGUUGGAACAAGGACAAAAAAACACAUUACAAAAACCUCAAAUAAGGACCAAAAUUAUUGCAGAAAACCUUUUGGGGCCAAAAUUAGAAAAUAUCAGGUAUAUUCAAGGACUGAAAAUGUAAAUAACUCUUUAACAUUUAUUAGAAAAUUAUUACUCUUAGUUUUGCCGACCCUUGUUAAAAUCAUGGUAUUUAGAUUGGUAAAUUUUUGUUUCUCCUGGUACCGUGACAUGGAUUUUCCUACGGUACCUAUAAAUUUUAUAUAAAGUAAAUAUUUUAAAUCUAAUUAAGAUGCUUUGUUAUUGAUAAACUUUUGUACUACCAUUGCAGCAUUGUCAAAAUUGUUCUUAACAUGUGAAUAUGCAAGACAUGGGUCUGUCACCUAACAAGUCAAAAAGUCAAAAAGUCAAAAGAUGGUUAGAAUGGCAAUAUUGUAAAUUGAUGAAAUGAGGACUAAUCAUUUUACUUGUUGUAAAUCCAAUGUCAUCAUAAUCCAAACCUAGUAGAAGACUUGGAUAUAGUCUUUGUUGAAUCUUUGUAUGUGAAAUCCAAAGAGACGAUCCCUUAAGCUAAGAAGAUAUGUAUAGUUAUUUUACAUUGGACAAGGAGCAAAUCACAUGACCAUUAUUUCAGUUUACUCCUAAAGAAAUUAUUAACAACCUUAAGCUUUUAGAUAAAAUGAUUUAGAAGGUCGUAAUACAUUUUUAUGAGCUAUAAAAGAUGUUACUUGGGCUUAACAAACUCUUUUAUAAAGUUUUUUAGAGCACAUCAAUGUAAGAGCGAAUUUCAGGAAUUAAGAGAAAUAAAAUAUAAUAAUAAAAAUCAAGACUGUGAAAUGGUAUUGCUACUCUUUAGUAGUAAUAAUAACAAUAACAAUAACAAUAACAAUAAUUUAUAUCAUAUAACAUCCGAAUCCAGGUAAUUUUUUUAAGUACUUGAUAUAAAUUAAAUUGGCAAAGAAGACCCUUAGUACGCUAGGCAUACGUGUAUGUAAGCUUAGCGUAUAUAGGCGCAUUGAUCAGGCAGCUGCGAGCAUGUACGUGGGGCGUACAUGGACAAAAAGCUGAAACCCUAAUUCUCGUUUUUGAGCCCUAUUUAAGCUCAUUUAUGACCUUUGGACCUCAUUCUUAACAGCCUCCACUGCAUUUAAAUGUCCCUAAAAACCCUAUUUGCCAUUAGAGGUGAUCUUUGAGCUUAAAGUCACAUUAAUAGCCGUUUUUGGUGUGUUUCCAAGAAGAAGUUGUGAGCAAGCCUUGGACGUGGUUGAGCUUCAAGAUCCUGAAUCUACAUCAUCUUGAGAAGCUUUUGGAGGUAAAAGUUCAUACCUUGUUGAUCCUUUUGCUAGUUUGAGUUAGGGUUUGGUUAUAAGUUCAUUUUUGGCCCAUGGAUCCUUUUUUGUGAGUUUGGGCAACUCCAGAGGUUAGAAAUGCUAAAUCUUAGUCCCUUUGGCAUGUUAGAAGCAUAAAAAUGCUAUCUUGAUGGUUGUUAUGGCACCAUGCAUGGGCUUAGGUCGUUAAAGUGAGUCUUAAUGGACAAAAUGGGAUGUUGGGCUCCCAUAAGGCAUGCAAAGGCAUAAAGUUGCUAACUUUAUGCCUUAGGACCCCUUAAAUGACCAAGACAUGGAAUUUGACGAAGUGGCUGGAUGUAAUAAGCACUUAAUGGCUAAAUAUGCUUAACAGCUUAGUAUGUUGGGCGUACUAAGAUGUAUGAUGCAUGUACUGCCUGAAGAUCAAGUACGCUAAGCGUACUGAGAAUGUACGUUGCGUGUACGCCCAGUGGGCUGUUGGACAUGUUUUGGACUUUUGGGCCUUAACUAGUUUUGGGCCUUGGCCUGUUUAUAAUAAGUGGGCUUAGUUUUCUGUUGUGGGCCUUGUGUGUCAUGGUUUGGGCCUUUUAUGCCAAGGGGCCCGUUAUUAUAGAUGGACCGAAUAUGGUUAGGUCCAUUAUGGGAUAGACGAAAUAGGCCAUAGUGUAACUUUCGAUAUUUUCUAAGGUAUUUAUUUAAUAUUGGUUAUUUAAUUAUUAAGAGUCAAGCCUUGGACGUUUUCAUUUGGGGCUUAGUGUGUGCAGUAUGCGGGGCGUACCACCCUGUGUACGUUGGGCAUACUAAUGUGGACUGAUUGCGAGUGCCAUUCACGUACACGCUGCGUACAAAGGAGUACGCGCAGCGUACGUGUCCAGAUCCCAAAACCCUAAUAUUUAGGGUUUGAGCACUAUUUAAAGAACAUUAUGCCCUACAGAUCUUCUUUAUCAGCCUCCCUUUUGUCCCUUAACAGCCUCUAUGAAACCCUAACCCCAUUGUUGAGUGUUCUUGAGCUUGGAAGGUCUUUUGAGUGCAUUUUGGUAUGUUUUGUCUCAUUUUCAAGGAAGAGAAGGUUGGAGUAAGGUGGUGGUUCAAGGAGAAGCUUGUAGAUCCGAAUUAUUUGCUCCGAUCCAUUUCUAGCUUGUGCAAUAUAUAAAGUAUUGAUCUUGAUCUUUAGAAGCUUAGAUCUCCAUGUUUUAGCUUUUGGUCCCAUAGAUGAGCUCUUGUGGAUUAUUUUCGUUUCUGAAGCUUAGAGUUGCUACUCUUGGUGUUCUUUGGGUCCUAGAGUCAUAAAGUUGCCACCUUUGAAGCUUUAAUCCAACCAUGCAUGAGUAAUGACCAUUUUUAUGGAAGUGGAAUGUUAUAUUUUGAGUUUGGGCCUAUUUGGGGCAUGUAAAGCCACCAAGUUGUCAACUUUAUGGGCUAAGAUGUAACACCCCAUUUAAUCAAUAAACAAAUAAACUAAUUAAUAGAUGUAAUUUCCGGACAGAAUUGUGAAGAAUUUUAACAGUUGAGGAGUGUUUAGUAAAUUACGGAGUUGAUUGAGAAGAAUCUUAGAAGCAAGGGUAUGUUUGGUAAUUAUUAGGACUUAUUAUGAAAGAGAAUUAUGGAAUCAAGGGAAAAAGGAUAAAUAUUGGAUUUAGUUUGUAAAGGAUUUUAAUGUCAAGUGCUAAAAGGGUAAAAUUAGGACCCACUUUGAAAGAAAAGGGGAGGGGAGGGGCCAAAGGUGGCAUUAUGGAAGAAAGAUUCAAGGGGUGUCGGGUAUAUAAUAUUACCCGCCACCCCUUUCUUCACAUCCGGUCGCCGCCAUCACCAUAGAAGCCCUGUUCCAGCCGCCGCCUCCAUUGUCGACGAUGACAAACUCGACUACCGCCACUCCAAGCAAUUGAGGUGCGAAACUGCAGCCUCCGUUUCUCCGACCUCCCUUCGCCAUCAUCUUCCCAACAGGCGUUAUAGUCGCCGCCACUCCAAGCAAUUGAGGUGUGAUGCUGCAGCCUCUCCGACUACCACGUGCCACCGCAAGGGUGGUGGUGUUUAGAUGUAUUUCCGGUGCGAACUAGCGUAUGUUGACGUUUUUCGGAGCAACAAACCAAAAGAAAGCAUCGCCACCACAGUGUGGUGGUGGCUGACGACGCAACCUGCCGCUUUUCCAGGGUUCUGUCACCGCCAUGUACGCCGCCAGGUGGUGGUUGUGUUGCUAUUUCGAGCAUAGUAGUGGGUGUGUAUUAUUUCAGUGAUGUAUGAUUGGGUUUGUUGGCCGGAUAUAUCAAGAAAGCAACCGCCACCAGUGUGAGAUGGUGGCUUCCACCACGAGCCACCGCCGGCCACCACUAGGGUGGUUGUGUCUGUGUGUGUUAGAGUAGUUAGUGCGUGUGUUUAUUUGUGGAUUAAAAGCUUGUAAUUGUAAUUAGCAAAUGAGUAAUGAAAAGAACCAUAACCACAACCGUAGGGUGGGCGCCGUGAGCCGCCAUUGACCACCACUACCCGAGGUGGUAGUGGGUGGUUCCCCACUAGCAAAACCCUAAUGUGCUUAAAGAUUAUUUGGGUGGAAACCCUAAUUUCACUUGGCCUUAUGUUGGGCCUUUCUGUUGGGCUUUGGUGUUUGAGCUUAUAAUGGGCCAUCCAAGAUCAAUCAUUGGACUGAAAUAUUUAGAUGGGCUUUAGGGUAAGGCCCAUAUGAGGGUGUAGGCCCAAUUUAGAAAAUUGGGCCAUAGAUGGGCCAUAGUUUGGGCCUUAAUGGUUAUAUGAUAUUGGGCCAUUAGAAAUAUCAAAUGUUGGGACUGGACUAAGUAGUUGGGCCUUUAAUUAUGACCAUGUAAAGGUUUGGGCCCAAUUUGGAAAAUUGGGCCAUAUGUUGGGCUUUGACUCAUAGUUGACUGUUAAGCCUUUGGAUUGGUCCUUGGGAUUGGAUCAAGCUAAGAUUGGGGUAAAGCAGUCUUUUACCCCAAGCAUGGACUUAUGAGUAUAUGUGAUGGAACCUUAUUAUUAAUUGGGUGUUAUUUUGAUGUUGACAGAUUCAGGAAUCUGUUAUCCAUCAGCUAGGGUUUUGUCAGCGGGACUUCAGCAGUGUGAGGUGAGUUUUCCUUCAGUAGGAACGGGUCUAAGGCACCAAUGUCGACUCGUUUAAGUAGUAGAGUAUGUCGGGGUUUAGCCCGAUGCAUUUUAUAUGUUUCCGAACUUCGGUCCGAUGUCAGGGCUGUCCCGAAAAGUAGUUAAGUAUGCGUGAUGUCUUUGUGAUUCAUGCAUGUUAUAUGAUAUGUGUUAAGUGUUCCGGGCUUCGGUCCGAUGUCGGGGCAAGCCCAAUGUAUGUUAGUUACAUGUUAUAUGUUAUGUGUUCCGGGGUAAGCCUGAUGUUGGGGCAAGCCCGAUGUAUGUUAGAUAUUAUACUAUGUAUUAUGUGUUCCGGGGCAAGCACGAUGCAGAUUAUGUGAUUAUGUUGUAUGUUAUAUGUUCCGGGCUUCGGUCCGAUGUCGGGCAAGCCCGAUGCAGAUUAUGUGAUUAUGUUAUGUGUUUAUGAUAUAUGUUAUGUUGUGUAUGUGUCGGGGUAAGCCCGACGCCGGGGUGAGCCCGAUGCCCGAUGCGGUCGAAUGCCGGGGUGAGCCCGAUGCCGGACAGGAGUCUGAUGCCGGGUAAGCCGAUGUCGGGAUUCGUCUCGAUGCAGCUGGGAGUAGUCCCAGAGUUAUGUUAUUUGUUAUAUGUGCUUGUAUGGUAUGUGGUGGUUUAGGGAGCUCACUAAGUUUCAUGUUUACAGUUUCAGUUUUGGUUUCAAGUACUUCAGCUAGCAAAGGAGAGGGCUCGAGUUGAUGGCAUGGCACACACCACAGUUUAUUAGCCUGGGAGCUUACUCUGAUAUUUUAUAUGAGACUGUUAUAUGUUGACAGAUUUUAUGAGAUUUUGAGAUACAUGAUUGAUGAUUUUAUUUUAUGGUGGCAAUAUUAUGUUUGUUAAAUGAUUUUAAAAACGAAAAUUUUGGCUUGUAUUUUUGGGAUGUUACAAGUUGGUAUCAGAGCCUUGGUUUGAAGGAUUCGGGCACACUUUCGGGCGUGUAUGAACUCAAACUAAGGAAUUGGUAUAGAAAUUUUCAAAAGGAAAAUCAAUUUUUGCAAAACAAAAUAGUUUUAGAAAAAGGGAAAAGAAUUUUUUUAGUAAGAAAAGAACUUUGAAAAGAGAAAAGGGUGUAGUGAAUGCAAUCAGUCGAGCUCAAGUGAGUACUCCCAAAUUACCCAUACAAGUUUAUGCUAUGUUUAUGAUUAUCAACUUUAUUUAUACAUCAUGCUAGAUUAGGACUAAGGAUCUAGGAAGGAUGCCUUAUGUUCCUAUUAUGUGUUUCAACUUUUUGAGAACUGCAUGCUAGUACAGAUUAGUCAGGAUGAUAGCCUGAGUAGUAUAUGCUUGAUUAUGUAUACUCAAUGUCCGAAUGCUGCUUGCUUUGUGCUUUUAGGAGUUCUAGUUGUCUUUCACUAACUAGUAAAAAAAAUGUUAAGUUACAUAUUGCAAGGACUAAAUAAUUUCCAGAAGGUUAGGUCUAGCUCUAUUUCGCAACUCUUGUUUGAGUCCAACCGUUGUAGGGUAGGAUCUCUCAUUCAAAGAAUUAUCUAGUCUGGGUAAUAUGUAAUAGUAUUUGCGAGUUAGUUAGGGGGAGGUAGUAGGACUUCUUAUGCAACUGAUGGCGGAGAGUGGGUUGGUGAUUACCCUAGGGAAAACCUAGGAAGAGUUUAGUAUGAGAUCAGCAGUAGUAGUAGAAGGGACUUGGUGGAGUCGAGGCAGUUCUUGAGAAAAGUACGGAUAUAUGUGGAUGGUAGUAUGGGCCCGUAGAAAGCAGAGCACCCGUACUCGAAUCAAGGAAGGCUGAGAUGAACCCAUGGACCUUGUAGUGUGUGAGAUCCCUCGAGUUAUGAUGAGUACUAUGAAGAUUGUGCUGGUAUGUUUUCGAGUAUAGUGACGUUACGUGAUAGACCAGAUGGCAGUUCUGGUGCCGACGAGGGAUCAUGCUCAGACUCUGGAGUUGGGCAGCUUGAUGGUCAUAUGAGGGAGUUUAUUCCAUCUGAGGGUACACGCAAUAUCAUUAACCAAACUCCUGUGAUCUUCAAUAUGAUCAAAAGAGGGUAUUUUAGAGAUUUGUGAUGAGAGGCUGAGUGCAUUCUACACAGAGAUAGCAACCAUGAUAGGGACGCGUGCGUUUGUGAUUUAGGAAGUUCAGAGCUUGUGAAGCUCUAGACUAUCAUGGGGCUAGGGACCCUAUUGCUAGCACCAGGUGAUUGGUAGAUAUCACCAAUAUUUUCGUACCGGCCAUAGUCUGGAAAGGAGACAAGGACCGACUUGCCUCCUGCCUCCUGAAGGACAGGUCAUGUGAUUGAUGGAAGAAGUUGGUAGAAGGUUGAGUGAUGAUGUGAUCGAUGCUAUGUCAUUGGAUGACUUUUAGAUCAUACUCUGGACAGAGCGUGUCCAGGCCAUUAAGGUGCAAUAGUUGCCGCGAGAGUUGUUAGAUCUCCACCAGACGACGGAGACUGUGGCAGAGAUCACUUCCAAGUCUCGGGAGACAGCUUAGUUCGAACCACAGUAGGUUAGAAGAGGAGGAAAUGAAGAAGGUAAGAUAUCAGGACAUACUGCAGAAUGAUAGCAGAGAGAUCGUGAGUUUCUCAGGGUGUGAGACCCUAAGUGAUAUGACUUCUAGAGCCCGAGAACGGUAAAUUGACUUGGAGCACAUUAGGAAGAGGGAACCAUAUCAGUUGCUUAUACUAAAGGGUCUCGGAAGGAGAACCAAGAUUUAGGAUUAGCUUUCGAGAGACCAGCAGGACCAGAUUCGGUGUAGCACUUGCGGGAAACUGCACAAGGGGGCCUUUCGUUCCAAGGGUUUGAGUAAGUGUGACUUUGGGUUAUCCUCUGUCUAUGUUUGAAUUAUACUUCCAAGAAAUGGCAUAUGCCAAUUGCAUACCGAGAAUUAUUAGCGGAUAGCAAAAGAUCAUUUCCCAAAUUGCAGGAUUGGGGGAGUACAACGUCAUCUUGGUUUAUUCCAAGACUGAGGAGCAGCACGAGGAGCACCUGAGGGAGGUGCUAGAGACUUUGAGGAGGGAGAGACUUUUUGCAUGGUACUCCAAAUGUGUGUACUGGUUGCGCGAGCUGCAAUUUCUUGGGCACCUUGUCAAUCAGGAGGGUAUUCUAGUUGAACCGGCCAAGAUAGAGGUCGUGAUGCAGUGGGAGAAUUUGAGGUCUCUAAUUGAGAUUCGGAGCUUCGUGGGUCUAGCGGGUUAUUACCAUAGAUUUAGUCGGGACUUUUCCAAGAUUGCAGUUCUUUUGACCCGACUGACCAAGAAGUCGGUGGCCUUUUGCUAGGGGCCUGAGCAACAUACAACUUUCGAGACUCCCAGACGGUUAAGUGUUUCAGGAAGUUUAGUGCUUCAGACAUUUUCAGUGUCUCAACCAGCAAUGGCAUUUUGGAUAAGUUUCGCAUCCUUGUCAGGAAGAAGACAGCCCAAGCGGCUGUAUGGUUUGAGGAUAGUGUGAGAUGGAAGUUCGGGAAAAAACUUGCCAAUAAGGAGAUCGCGUUCCCGUAAUAUUUACCAGCAAGCCUUAGGGAAUCAAGUUGGGGAUUCCAGUCAGGACAUGAGUUCAGUUGAGUGCGGGUCAAGCGCAUGUUCGAUCUAGUAUGGAAGGUGUUGUAAGUCUGUUGGUGUAGCCGUAGCAUUCACUAGCAGCCAGAUAGUGUUAGAGUGUUGUAAGUCUGCGGGUGUAGCUGUAGCAUUCACUAGCAGCCAUAUAGUAUUAGAGUGUUGUAAGUCUGUGGGUGUAGCUGUAGCAUUCACUAGCAGCCAGAUAGUGUUAAAGUGUUGUAAUUCUACGGGUGUAGCCGUAACAUUCACUAGCAGCCAGAUAGUGUUAGAGUGUUGUAAGUCUGCGGGUGUAGCCGUAGCAUUCACUAGGUUGGUAGAUAGCGUGAGUGCUUUGUUAGGACUCGGAAAUAACAGUAGUACCCACCAGUUCAGGUGUAGUAGUGAGGAUAUGGAAAUCCACGAUUUGGAUUUCGGAAUUACCAGAUGGUUUAGAUUUGGUUGAGCCGGUGAUAAGACUGUAGGAGCGCCACUAGACUUAUGGAAUCACGGAAGCAAUGGACCGAAUCAGAUUGCUUGUGAUAUCAAGCUACCAUUAGUCAGGUAGCAGUCAUUUUUAGCCUUGGAUUUGGAGGAUGCUAGCAUCCGACGUAUGGACUCGACCAGUUAGAUCAUAAACUUAUUAAAGCCUCAGUGGCGUGAUAACUAGUUCCAGAGGAGGAUUUCGUUUUGAAGUCGUGUGAGGCGACUAAGUGGGAGUCUUUUGACGCCGUAGCCAGGCUAGAACCCGGUAUUUCAGAUGAAUGAUGGAUGAAUUGAGACCGGGAAAGUCUCGAUAGAUUUUGGGAAAGCAGUCAUGUAGUAGCAUGUUGUUUCAGGCAGUUUCAGUGAUUGAGCAGUGUUAGUAUUUGUGUAGGUUGCAAGCACGGGCAAAAUAGCUGGUUGACUGGGAAGUGACAAGUCACUCACAGCGAGAUUUGUUGAGCCUUGGCCAAGUAUAAGUGAUCUGUAGGGAUAUUGGGCAUGUGAUCCUAUUUUAUGGUGGGAGACUUCGAGCUAUUAGAAAUUGAGCAGCCAGUUAAGAGAUAAGCAGGCUGGUUUCAUCGAUAAUGAUUCAGUAUGAGUGGUCUGUCAUGGAACCAGACCAUCUCAAGACAACAUAUUUCAGACAAAGUAGAUGUGGACUUGUUGCGAGGAAUUCGUUCACCAGUAGAAUUUAAGGCUUUGCAAAAAUUGGUCAUGGCUACCUUGAGAAGGCUAAGGUGUGCCCAGGAUUGUGGUCAGGUUCCUUGAGUGGGUUGGCAUGUAAGAAUGAUAACGGUUGAUUUCGAGGACGAAAUCUAAUUUAAGUGAGGGAGAGUUGUAACACCCCGUUUAAUCAAUAAACAAAUAAAUUAAUUAAUAAAUGUAAUUCCCGGACUGAAUUGUGAAGAAUUUUGAUAAUUGAUGGUUGUUUAGUAAAUUACGGAGUUGAUUGAGAAGAAUCUUAGAAGCAGGGGUAUGUUUGGUAAUUAUUAGGACUUAUUAUGAAAGAGAAUUAUGGAAUCAAGGGAAAAAGGAUAAAUAUUGGAUUUAAUUUGUAAAGGAUUUCAAUGUCAAGGGCUGAAAGGGUAAAAUUAGAACCCACUUUGAAAGAAAAAAGGAGGGAAGGGGCCAAAGGUGGCAUUAUGGAAGAAAGAUUCAAGGGGUGUCGGGUAUAUAAUAUUACCCUCAACCCUAACCCUAGGAGCAUAGCAGUCACAACCUCAUCUCCGAUUGGUGCCACCCCUUUCUUCACAUUCGGUCGCCGCCAUCACCAUAGAAGCCCUGUUCCAGCCGCCGCCUCCAUUGAUGACGAUGACAAACUCGACUGCCGCUGCUACUUUUGUGGUAUGAGGAAGCAACUCCCACCACUGGGUGCGAGCAUCCCAGUCGCCAUCACCAUUGUUGCGUUUUUCCGAUGGGUCGAGCCACCAAGCGUGGCAGCCUCUAUCCCCGUACGAGAGCAGUCAAUAGUGUGACUGUUGGGUCUACGUGCGUUGCCGUUUCUCCGACCUCCCUUCGCCAUCUUCUGCCCAGCAGGCGUUAUGAUCGCCGCCACUCCAAGCAGUUAAGGUGUGAUGAUGUUGUCGCUCCGACUACCAGGUGCCACCGCAAGGGUGGUGGUGUUUAGAUGUAUUUCCGGUUUGAACUAGCCUAUUUUGACGUUUUUUAAAGUAGCGAACCAAAAGAAAGCAUCGCCACCACAGUGUGGUGGUGGCUGACAACGCAACCUGCCGCUGCCGCCUUUCCAGGGUUCUGUCGCCGCCAUGUACGUGCCAGGUGGUGGUUGUGUUGCUAUUCCGAGCAUAAUAGUGGGUGUGUAUUAUUUCAGUGAUAUAUGAUUGGGUUUGUUGGCCGGAUGGAUCAAGAAAAGUGGUCGCGCGCUUCCAUUUCGCAUGCAUGGUCCUCCAUGCCAACUUUUUAAGGGACCAUUUAUGCCAAUAACUUCCAACUGUAGACGAGUUGGAGAGCCCCAACUCGACGAGUUGACGCUGCGAAAUGAAAACCCUAAUCUUCGGACAUUUCACCCUAUAUAAAGAACAUUAACUUCUAGGACUGGCCUCCUUGCCUAGAGAAAACCCUAGACUCGCCUUCCUCCUUGUUCAUUGAGUUUUGUUAGUGUUCGAGUGAUUGUUUGAAAUCUUUGAAUGAGGUUUUGAAGAGAGAAGUAUCAAGCUUGGAGGAGUGAACUUGGAUCCAGAAACUCUACAUCAAGGGCUACAUCUUUGAGGUAUAAAGUCAUAACCUUGACAUGUAGCUUAUUAGAUCUCAUCUUUUGAAUUUUAAGCAUGAUUUUGGGAUCUUGGGUUGAAUUGUCCAAAAGAAAAAGAUUCCAGGGGUUGUCAAGCUAGAUCUGACCCCUCCAUGGUAUCCUGAGGCUUAAAGUUGCAAACUUUAAUGGCCUCCAUGUCCCUUUCAUGCAAUAUGUUCAUUAGAAAGCCCAAUAUGGACCCUAGAGAGUGUUAAAAGUAUGCAUGGGCGUAAAGAUAGAAAAUUUACAAGAUUUCCCGCCUUUGGACAUCAGAUCUGUGUUUUGGGAUGUUGAGAUGAGAGUUUAAGGGCUUAAUGGGUCAAGACCUUCCUUAAAGGAACUAGGGUUUGGGUUUAGAGCCUAUUGGGUGAAUCUUGGGGUAAAGUUGGAAACUUUACCCUUCUAGACAUUUCUAGGAAUGGAGAUCUGAAGUUUGGAACCAUUGGAUUCGAGAAAAAGGGCUUAAUGCAUUAAGUGAGUUGACAGACUGAAGAACUCGACGAGUUCACAAGGGAACUCGGCGAGUUGGGUUAGGUUUACCUCGAUUUUGUUGGAAAACGGAGGAACUCGACGAGUUAUAGGAGAACUCGAUGAGUUGGAUCGCAAUAUCGUGAUUCUGGCUUUGGGAUGGACUCGACGAGUUACAGAGGUUACUAGACGAGUUAGGUCAACUCGGAGUGUUGACUUUGACCUUGACCAGGGUUGACUUCUAAGGGGUUUGAAGGGUUGAGUUUUAUCUAAGGAAUUGUUUAUGAUUAGGGAGGUGGCAGAGCUGACACUCGGAGUUUGGACCUACUUAGUUACAGUUUGCAUUUGAGGUGAGUCUCUUCACCAUACCAAUGGGUCGAAGGCACUAAGGUCGGCCCAUUAUGUGUUAUGUGGUAUGCUAGUUGGUUAUGUGGUAGGUAGUAUGCUAGUUGUCUUGGUGAUACUUGCAUGGAAGACCUCGGGGGGGGGNNNNNNNNNNNNNNNNNNNNNNNNNNNNNNNGGGGGGGUUCCCAAGGCAAUUGGAUAUAAGACCAUGUAGGGGUUCCCAUGACAUUCCAGGCUAAGACCAUGUGGGGGUUCCCAUGACAAUUCCAGGCUAAGACCAUGUGGGGGUUCCCAUGGCAGUUAGUUAAGACCAUGUGGGGGUUCCCAUGGCAGUGGGCUAAAACCAUGUGGAGGUUCCCAUGACACCCGGUAUAAGACCUUGGAGGGUUUCCAGGCAUCCUUAUAUGUUUGUAUGCAUGGCUUGUAUGGUUGAUAUGGUUUAUGUGAUUAUGUGAAUUGUGUGGGGUAUGUUAUGGGGAACGCACUAAGCAUUACCUUACAGUUUGUUGGUUGUUUCAGGUACUUCAGGAUCUAAGGACAAGAGCCUAGCGUGAUGGCGCGGCAUGCACUCUCUGGCGUUUUAUUGGGGACACUCUGAUAUUUUGAAUAAUUUAUCUGAUGUUAUGGAUAUUGAAAACAAAUGUGAUUGGAAUUUUAUGUUUUAUGAAGAUGAUUCCAUUAUUUAAAUGAAAAUUUUUAUUGGAAAUUUUAGGCUGUUACAAGGCCAACAUACCCAGGUGGGCUAGCGGUGUGAUGUAGGCUAGUGGUGGAUCAACAGAAAGUUGAGAGGGAGCAGUCCAUGUGCACUAUAGGCCUUGCGAGGCGGGCUAAUCCAACUGUAGACUCGAGGGAAAUCCAGUCUUAUGUUUUGGGCCCGAUAUGCAUGUAUUGUAUGUAUAUUGUGAUGUGUGGUAUUUUGGGGGAACUCGCUAAACUUUGGCUUACAGUUGUGGAUUUAAUGUGUUUCAGGUACCAAUAGUGAUCAUAGGAAGGUGAAGGCAUGAUUGUACACAUUCAUUAGCAACCGUGGAUAUUUUGUGUCUACUAUAAUAUUCUGAUUUUGGCAAAUGUAUCUUGGAACAAAUGGUCUUUUUUAAAAGGGAUUUUAUAAAUGUGAAGUUUUACCUUUGAGGUCUAGUUCAACUGGAAGGAGACACGCCUCACUUUUCCCCUCCCAAGGGUUUCUGGGGGAAUGAUGUCGAGUUCUAUCCGUGUCCAAAACAGUGAAACCCCUUAAUAGGAAACUAGUUUGCUAAGGAUGAUGUUGUUAUCUCUCCAGAGAGCGAUUGAACCAAGGUUCGUUGGGUGUUACGGCAUAUUGUCCUAUCGGAUGUCAUUGCCCGCUACACGGAACCACCCUUCAAUAUAUAUAUAUAUAUAUAUAUAUAUAUAUAUAUAUAUACACACACACACACACACACACAGAGAGAGAGAGAGAGAGAGAGAGAGAGAGAGANUAUAUAUAUGAAAAUUUUAUUGUGAAAAAUAAGACAUUACAAACUUACAGUAUAUAUGGUUUUCAUUAAGAGGAAAAAGCACCAUUAUACCAUCAUGUGAGAGACAUUUUCCUGGGUAAAAUUUAAAUCUAACGGAAAUGGAUGGAAGGACUAUCAGUGUAAGUAAUUACACCCUUUAUAUUAAAAUGAUGAGAAAAAACAAAUUGAACUUGGAGUGCAAUUGUGGAACAAACAUAGGGAAUUUUAUACAAUGGGAUAGUACUUUUAAAAAAUAUUUACCAUAUUUUGGAAUUUAAUUACCAAAAGAUAGUAUGUACAUUUGAUUUUUAUGAUUAUCUUUAUUCUCAGCAGCACCCAUUCAAACCACAUCACAAAAACACUCCAAGCUCUUGCUCAUCCAUUUCCGACGACUGCAUAAUCUCAUGCCACCUUCAUCUCCCUCCUAAGAACCUUCCAUUUUAAGGGAAAUUUUUUCCUUUUCCAGCCAAUCCAAUAUAAUCCAUAAAGUACCGGUGACAUUACUUGAGAGCCAUAUAUGGAUUAAUCUUGAAAAUUAGUAUGUACAUUUGAUUUAAUAUAAGCUUCAUAACCUUUUACACCCAGAUGAACAGAAGGAAUGCAUGUAAAAUUCCGUUGUUGGCACCAGAAAUCGUGUUUCAUGGACUCAUGGAUGAAGAUUAUAAUGUCUAGUAAAUCAUAUCGACUCUUUAAAACCUAAAAAUAAUACAAUUCCAGGUGAGACUAACUUCAGAAAACAAAGAUAUUGAAUUGGAUUCCGUUAAACAUUGAAUCCAACAAAUGAUUGUCAAUGGAAUAACAUUACCAAUAGAUCUCUGAUACUCCUACCAGGAAGUUCUAGGUUAAAUCAGAGUUUUAAGGGAUUUGAAUGUACAAAAGCAUCAAGGAAUGGUACUGAGCAACUUGUUGUAGGGGAGGUCGAUAUGCAAAAGGCUUUCAUUACACGCGACGGAAUAUCAAAUAGGAAUUCAGAUCUUCAGAGGAGAUAUCGAGAAAUUAAAUUGGUGAUCGUGAAUGUGAGUAAAGAAUUAUAAGCAAACAUCAUGCAGAUACAUAAACUGUAUAGUUGUAAUUUUCAAAGUAAACCAAUGAAUUCUAGAGUUCAGGUGAAGUCGCAAAGAAUUGAAGAUUAUAAUAGAUGCAUAUGGAGAAGGAAGCAAAUGAGUGGAAAAGAUGCUGCAAUAACCGGUGAGGGAGGGAGAAAUCGCUGGGCGAGGAAGAAGACACGUGUGAGGCCAGGCGGGUUGCUUUUUUUUUCUUAUUUUAAUAAAUUUCAAAGCACCAUUAAUUUGGUAAAUACUUUUUAAAAAUACAAUCUUUUGUAAAAAACUCCAAACAUAGGGGACUAAUGUAAUUUAAUGAUGAUACCUUGUAAAUCGCCCAACAUUCCCAGUUUCCCUCUGUUCUUGAAGACUUUGAAUACGUGGAUCCGACUCCGUUUCCUCAGUUUUAAAUACUAUCUAGUUAACUAUGCUUGACAUACUUGUACCAGGUGAAGUAAAAGUCGUACUCUACUAUCAUGUUUUCAAAUUGCAAAAAUCAAACCAUAAUACGUAAAUUGACCCUACAUUACAGCUUUUGGACGAAUCUAACAGAGUACCUUCAGUUUUGUUAUAACUGGUUAUAGUGAAAAUAAAUAUUAAAAAUUUGUUUUGGUAAUACAUAUUCAAAUUUAAUUAUAACAAAACUAAUGUAAUUCUGACUGAAAUUUUAUUUCACCAGGAUUUAUGCAGUUAACGUCUCUUUUUGUAAAACAGACGUUUUUUUUAACAUAAGGUGAAACGUGGAAGCUAUUGAUUAAUAUCUUAAAAACAUCCAAAAGCUACUAAAAAUCGAAGGCAUUGAUACUUUAAGAAACCCGCUGAACAGUAGAAUGGGGUGAUACGGAGGACCUCUAUAAAUGGUCAUUUUGGUUUGUGAAGUAUUUAUAUUUAAAAAUGCAAAAGUCGAAAUUGAAAUGAAUGUAUAAUACGAAGGACUAUUAAUGUAAAUUUUAUUAAAUAGUAACGAUUUGUGAAUAACAACACUCUAAAUUAUCUCAGCGCAUUUGUUCUUAUGUUCUCUAUUAUCUGUUUGUGUCUCUGUUUUUAUUGAGAUUUUAUAUUUAAUGUCACUUUUUAUUUUUUAUAUAAAGACCCAAAGUAAUAUCAUUACUAUUUUCGUAAGUAGAAGAAGUAGAUUUGUAUUUGAUUUCAUUAGUCUGAUUUUUGGCAUUUAUAUCACAUGGCCCAAAAAAGUAUCACGAGAUGGGAAAAGAUAUAGAUAGUAAGACUUGCAAGUCUUUCAACGUCUAAUUUGGGGCAAUGUUUCUUCUUUCAUGGAAAUGGAAAUUUCAUACUGUAUGAUAUGCCCCAUACAAGCAGACCACCAAUUUGAGUCACUCACUUGGAAGCCUUCAUGUUCACACUUCACAGGGAGACUAUAUAAACCCUAGCCUCAUGAAUCUAAAAAUCAUCAGUUAAGUAUUUAAUUUACAUUAUGAAUCCUUGUGUUUUUAUAAUGUUCUCGAUUCUCUUGCUGACUACAACUACCAGCCAAUUAGUACCGGUGGGAGGAGAUGAUAUUGGAGGUGUUGAUAUGAAAAAGUGUUUGGAUAAGGAGAGAGAUGCCCUCCUUCUUUUCAAAGCUCCCCUUCAAGACCCUGAUGGUCGUCUCUCUUCAUGGACAGCUGAGGAACAUGACUGCUGUAAAUGGAGUGGAAUCACCUGCAACAACCAAACAGGUCAUGUCACAGAGCUUGAUAUGGGCUUCUAUGGUCUUGGAGGUGAGAUAAGCCAUUCAUUGCUUAACUUAACCUACUUGAAUCAUCUUCAUCUUUCAGGAAAUUCUUUCAAUGGAACCAUUCCCACCUUCAUUGGUUCUAUGACUGAAUUGAGGUACCUUGACCUUUCCUUUAACUCUCUUUAUGGAACCAUUCCUCCAGAGUUUGGAAACCUCACCAACUUGCAAGACCUUGAUCUUGAUUCUGUUGGAAGGUGUAGAGUUGAAAACAUAGAGUGGUUGUCUCAUCUCUCUCAUUUGGAGUGGCUAAGAAUGGAUGGGAUUUCCCUAGCCAAACAAAAUCACUGGGUAGAUGUAAUUCUGAGUCUCCCAAAACUAACACAUUUAUCUUUAGGUGGAUGUGAGCUGUCACAGGUCGUGUAUCCAUAUUCUUCUUCAUUUCUCAACUCUUCUUCUUCUUCUUCUUCAUCUAUUGAGUUCCUUCAUCUCGGAAACAACAGUCUGACCUCAUCCAUGUAUCGCUGGUUGUUCCCCUUAACCAGCAAUAACCUUAGGACUCUUGAUCUCCUUGGCAACAGGUUAGAUGGGAUACCCAGAUACCUUGGUAACCUCUGUAGUCUGGAAAGUUUGGACUUCUCUUACAACUCGGCUGCUGUCAAAUUUCCUGAUUUUCUCAACAACUUGUCUGGAUGCACAUCCCUUUCAUUACAAAAGUU
This 59290-nucleotide long non-coding RNA is filed under the name Lactuca sativa (garden lettuce). Its description in RNAcentral is "long non-coding RNA (LSAT_LNC006411)". Lineage: Eukaryota; Viridiplantae; Streptophyta; Magnoliopsida; Asterales; Asteraceae. The record is from RNAcentral.